GGGUGGCCUAGCAUGCAUCAUGGGCUGAAACCUCUCAUUUCCUCCUCCCAUGGCACGUUGUUGGUUCAUCAUUGCUGCCAAAUACUGUUGCUGUUGUUGUUGUUGAUGGUAUGGGUUGCCCGGCAUUACAUCCGGACCCGCUCCCUGAAAGUACCCUCCGCCGCCGCCGCCGCCGUUCAUGGCUGCUGCCGGUAACCCUUGCACUGCUGGGAUGUUACCCAUUUGGGGUAAGCUCCCCAUUUGGCCCAUUGCCAUGUUCAUGGCAGCAGCCCUUUGUUGUUGACUCAUGUUCCCACCAUUAGCGCCGCCACCCAUGGUAGGGAACCCAUCGGAAACACCGUUGGGAGCACCCUUUUUGCCACCGUUCCCACCACCGUUGUUACCACCAUUCUUGUGUAGCUCCUGAGGUAAACCACCGCCAUUUUUACCACCGUUUUUACCACCGCCACCUUGAUAUGGAUUCCCCCCGUUAGGAUUCCCUCCAGCACCACCACCUUUCUUACCUCCAUUCCCAUUUUUACCCUCAUUGUUACCACCACCAACAGGCAUACCACCCCCACCGUUACCACCUUUCUUACCAUUACCCCCACCAUUAGGAGCAGCAUUUUGGGGACCCUUUUGGGGAUUCAUAAGCUGAGGGAGAUUACCAUUCAUCAUGCCAUUCAACAUCACCAUGUUGUUGGGCAUUCCUUUAGGAGGAGCAUUAUUCCCCAUCAUAGCCUUCAUCUUGUUAACUGGAUGACGAGGAUCAUCCAACUCAUCACCAUCAUCAAAAUCAUCAUCAUCAUCAAGAUCACAAUCAUCAUCCAAGUCAUCAUCGUCAUAAUCAUCAUCACUGAAAUCUUCCUCUUCAGCAAACUUGACAGCUUUGUUGUUUUGGAGUUGGUUGGGAUUAGGACCCAUUUUCAUGUCCUUCAACUGAGGCAGCUUCAGAUCUUGUAACCCUUUCAUUUGUUGAAGCUGUUGAAGAUGCUGGUGCAACUGUUGAGGUGUCGGCUGACCACCUUUCGGCUGGUUAUUGUUGUGGUUGUUGUUGUUGUUCCCUUUCUGACCACCCUUGUUGUUGUUUUGGUUGUUGUUCUUGUUGUUGUUGUUUCCACCUUUGUUGCCAUUAUCAAGCAUCUGCAUGUUCUUGAACUGGUUGGCAAGAUGUGCUUGAUUGUUGUUAGCUUUUGCAGAACCCCAAGGCUCUGCAUGCUUCCCUGAUUUUGCAAGCUUUCUUAUUAGAACAUUAGGAUCUACAUUUCCCAACACUGUUACCUUACCUUGCUCAGAAUCUAUGGUGGUCUUAAAAACCCCUGACAAAACAAAAAUAAAACCCCAAAAAACUCAACUUUAAAGUCUGAAACAUGAAAAACAAAUUAAUGUCCAAAAAAAAGAAGAAAUACCUUCAAUCUUUUGUAAGAUUUUCUUCACUUUGUGCUUACAUCCAUCACAGUGUAUGUUAACUUUGAGGACACAAGUCUGCAAACAAGCAAAAAAAAAAGAUUUUUUGAGUAGAAACGAAGUAAAGGUAUAAUCUUUAACAAAAAACACUAGAGAAACAAAAAUGAGAGAGAAAAAGAGAGAGAAAAUACUUGGAUCUUCAUAAACUCUUCUUUACUCAUUUUUUUUUCUUCUUUUCUGAUCUCAAAUACACAUACAACAACAAGGAGAAUGAAAGAGGGAAAAAAAGGGUUGGUAACAGAUCUGAAGAAAAAAAACAGAAGAAAUGAUAGAAAUUUACAACAAAUCCCAACAGACUUAGUUUUUGGGUUUGUUUAACAGAAGAAGAAGAAGAAAGAAUGAGAGCCGGAGAAUGAGAAGAAGAAGAAAGAGAAUAGAUGUUAAUAAGCAAAGCAAAGACUCUGCUAAAAGCAAAGAAAGAGAGAGUGCCGGCAAUGGCAAUGGCAACAGCAGGCAAGGCAAAGCAAAGCAAAGCUUCACUCUAUCUUUUGGAUCUUUAUUUAUUGAUAUAUUUAUAUAUAUAUUGAAAUUUUACCAGAAAGAAGAAUAGAGUGAUAUUUUUUUUUUUUGGUAAAAUGUGUAUUAGAGCCAAAUGGUGGCUUAGGCUUGGCUUGAGCUUUGGCUUUUGGCUUUGGUAUUGGCUUUGUAUGAAGAAGAAAAUAAAUAAAUAAAGAAAUUUGAGGCUUUUGGUGAUUUCACAAAUUUCACCGUAAGAGGGGGAUUGGAUUUUGGUGGGUCCAAAAUAAUAAAUGGAAUGUACAAAGAUCACAGAUGUGAAUGAACUCCUUGUCAGAUUUUUUACUCUCUUAUAAUACAAUACAAUAAUGACACUAGAUGGCAUUGCCAUACGCUUCCCUAUCCUCCUUAGAUUCGAUUUUAUUUUAAUUAUUUUCUUAUUUUUAAUUAAGCUCUUUGAAUUAUAAAUUUAUAAAUUAAUUCAGCCUUAAAAUUUAAUUUUUACAUCAAAAUAACGACUAAUGAUAUAUAUAGCAGUUAAUAGCGACACGAAAUAAGUUGAUGAAAGAGAUUCCAACAUUAUCUAAAUUAUUAUAUUUUUUUAUGUUUAAAUCUAACUUAAGUUUAGUCUAAUGAAAAUAAAAAAAUUUUGUUUUAUAUUCAUAUUUACAUAUUUUUUAUUAUUUAAAUUAAAUUCAAAAUUAGGAAAAAGAAAUUGGUCGAAAGCUUGAGUUUGUACAUGCCAGCCUAAUAAAUUUAACAAUCGAUCCAACAAAAAGAACUUACCAUAUAUCAUAUGAUUGGAUUGCCUUGGUGUAUCCAUUUUACAACCUUCAAACAAGCACAUAUUAAACCCAUAUAAAUUUUAUUCUUUUUUUUCUCAAUAAAAGUUCAACUAAAGUGUACUCUUACAAUAUUUCUUGAUUUAUAAAAAUCGAAGUCUUGGAAAACCCCUCAUCAAAAAAUAAACACAACCCUAAAAUUCUUGCUACUCGAUCAAACCGUUAUUGGAUUUCUUCCGAUUCAAUCAAGCACAUAUUCAAUUUCUCAUUCAUUUUUUUUCCUAAAUUGAAAAUUUCCCACUCCAUUAAAGAGAAAAACUAUGUUGAAAAGAAAUAAAAUUUGCAAUUAUCAAUUUUAUGAAAGUAUAAAAUAGAUUAAUGCUUUUUCAAAGAAUUGAAACACUUAAACAUAAUACAGAUAGUAGUAUACAUCUCAGGCCUACAACAAUCACACCACAUCCUAUAGUCAAAGUAAGAGAAUUUUUUUUCAACCCUCCUAUAUUUGAUUGGUCUCCUUGUCUCAAUCACUUGUAGGAUGCGCAUGAACUCCGUUGUCGUCCAAGAUGUCUACCAAAACUAACUAAACUAAAUUUAUAUUAAAACUAAGAAAAGAAAAGAAAAACAAAAAAAAAAAACAAGAAGUUUCAAUCAAGGCUAGUUCAUGGAGUUUGGAGCAUCAAUCAUUUAAUUUUAACGGUAAAAGGAGGCUUGGAUGAGGAGAAGCGUCAAUCGAAGUCUGGUGAUGAUUCAACAACCAAAAGAAGAUACUUGGGAUUUGAUUUGGUUGAUUUCAUCUUAAACCAUUCAGUAAUUGGAAGAAAGCAACGAAAAGGUAGCAAGUCGACACCUUCAAUUGGCCAAAAGUGACCUGAAUUAUGGUGAUUCCAAGUAGUGGCUAGGGUAUGGAGAAGAAGGGAUUAGCUUUGUUUUGUUCUGCAAAGGAAUAAGAAAUGAAUAGGCAAAAGAAAAAAAAAAGGAAAAAAGGAAACUUACGUGUGAGAUAUUUUUAUAAUCUUUCUAAUAUUUUAGAAUAUUGACAAAUUGUAAAUAUUAAGGCUACUUUUUAAGAAUCAUUACCAAAUUGACAUAAUAUAUAAACAUUGACGGCUAAAAUUGUUAUUAUACCAAUUUUAAAAGUUGUUACAUCAUUUUCCUAUUAGUCAGUUAACAAUUGGUGACAAAAAAAAAAAAAAGAGGCAAAUCCAAUAAGUUGAGUGCCCAUUUUAUUACUUUCCAUAGUUAGGUGAUAAAAAAAAAACCUUACUAAUAAUGGCCUUGUUCCUUAGACUAAGGGUGCCUUUGGAUAAAAAUUUGCGAUGGUGAGAUGGAAGAUCAAGAGAUUAUUCUUUCUCAUUGCGUUACUUUCAUAUUUAGGUAACUUAUGGUGCAAUCCAUUUAGCAACUCUCAACCAUGGAAAAAAAACCCUCCAAUGAAAAUGGCGUUUGUUUUUUUAAAAGUGUGCUUAUUUUUAUUCCAAAUAAAAGAUGAUGCAUGCUUACUGAUUGGCUUCCACUGACAGUGGUAUAUAAAAAAUUUAAUAAAUAAUGAUGUUAAUAUGAAAAUUGUUAUCAUAUAAUAAUUAUAUCAAUUAUUUUAUCUGAUAAUUUAACAAGCACAAACUUGAACAAGUGGAAGUCGGGCGAAUAGGAUUGUUUCUUGAAUUAGAGUGGCUUAGUUGUUUCAGAUUAAAGCAAAUGGUUUUGCUGGGAGGAUUUGGAUUAUUUGGAAUGAAACGGUUCUAAUUAACAUAUUGGUUAUGCAUCCUUAAAUGGUUCAUAUGAAAGUUAGCAAUGUGUAAGCUCAAAUAAAAAAAAAAAGAAAGUUAGCAAUGUGUAAGAUUCCUCUAGUUUUCUCUGUUCAGCAAUAUAUGUUAACCCAUAACAAAUGAUGAUGAAGGAACUUUAGUAUACUUAGAAUUACAUGGCAGAUUCGAUUUUGAAGCUGUGGUUGAUUGCUAGAGAUUUUAAUUCAGUUUUGGAGGGAUCGAAAAGGGUAAGAGGUGUUGCUAUGUCGCGAAUAGGUUGUAAAUGGUUCCAAUCAUUCGUGUUUGACAAUGGGCUUCGUGAUUUAGGAUAUAAUAGACCACAAUUUACUUGGAGUAGAAGGAAUCUUUCAUAGAGGCUUGUUAAGGUAGUUUGUAAUUCAGAAUGGGAUCUUUUUGCCCUAAUUGUGUGGUUCACAAUUUCCAUUUAUUAAAAUCGGAUCAUAAACUGAUUUUGGUCUCAUUAAGGCCGGUUAUUAAAAUGGGCUGUAGGCCUUUUUUAUGUUUAGCCAACUGGAUGAUUGAUCGCAAGGUUUUGUGAUAAGUUUUAAAUAUUUAUAAUUACUCAUUCUUGAACUAACUAUUAUCGCGAUGUAGGCAAGUGUACCUAUCGAACAGUAGUAUAGUUUUAGCAAGACCGGAUUGUCAAACCCAAAGAAACUAAAAGGACUAGUAAUGACUGUCUUUUUAUUAUCUAGCCUAAGAAUAAAGAGGUUUUGUUUUAAUUAACUAAUUAUCUAAACUAAGAACUCACAGAGAAAAGAAUUGAGGAAUUACUUUUGGGAAAAUCGAUUGAAUGAAGACAAUAUCUAAGGAAAAAUCCACCUAGACUUUACUUGUUAUUCUGGCUCCGAAUCGGACGAUUUAUUCAUUCAACUUGUUCCGUAGAGAUCCCUAAGUUAUGUUAUUAUCCCUAUUCAAGACUAAUAACGUCUAAUCCCUAGAUUGAAUAACCGAAACUUUUCUCUAAUUAACACUCUAGGGUUUCAUUAACUCGAUCUAUAGAUCUCCUUAUUAGGUUUCACCCUAAUCCGGCAAAAUCUUGUCACCCUAUUUCUAGGCGCGCAAUCAACCCCGCUUAAUUAUGACAAAAGUACUCUUAGACAGGAUCUAUUCCUCCUCUGAAUAAGAGCAUGUCUUGAAUCAAUAUCCUGGGAUAUCAAAACAAGAAUUAAGAACACAUAAUUAAGAACAAGUUAAAUAUUUAUCAUACGAUUCAAAAAAUAAUAACAAGAUUCGUCUUAGGUUUCAUUCCCCUUAGGUAUUUAAGGGUUUUAGUUCAUAACUAAAUAAGAAAACAUCUCAGAAGAAUAAAGAAUACAAAACAUAAAGAAAACCCAAAACUCCUGAAGGGAAAUUGAGGAGAGAUCUUUAGUCUUGAUGAUGAAUUCGGCUUCCAAGAUGGAUCAAUCGGCUUCCUUAGAGUAAUUCCUUACCCCCUCUUCUCCCUCCCUUUUUCUUCCUCCUCUAAGGUGUAUUUAUAGGCUUUGGAAUACCUAGAAGCCCUCAAAAGUGGCCUUUUCCAAAUUGGACUUAACUUGGGCUCGGCAGGGACACGCCGGUGUGUGAUUACUUCAGGCCGUGUUCGAGCCUGUUAGAAUGGCACGGGCGUGUGCUAUACCCGUGUGAGGAGGUCUAGGCCGUGUUGAUCUCGUACUUUGGCCCAUUUUUUCCGUUUUUGGCCCGUUUCUCAUUCCUUUCGCUCUCUUAUGCUCUCCUAAGUAUAAAACAUGAAAUUAAAGCAUUAGGAGCAUCGAAUUCACCAAUUCUUAUGGAAAAUCAUCCAUAAAAUGCAUUAAAAAUGGGGUAAAAAUAUGUAUAAUUUACGGUUUAUCAAAUACUCCCACACUUAAGCAUUUGCUUGUCCUCAAGCAAAAUUCUCAACUCAUAAUCAAAAUAAAUUCUCCUCAACUUACAAUUCCUAUCGAUAAUAUCUCAGAAUAAUCCAUAGGUAAUCAUACAUUGAGAAUUUAACUAAAAGAACAUAAAAGUUUCAAACAUUCCAAGUUGAGUAUUUAAUCAUGCAAACAUAAGUGUCUCUCCGCAUCUAAAUAAUUACCUUUGAUUUAGAAUAUCACAGAGUUUCACAUCCUCACUAAAGAUUCACUCAAAUCACUUGAGGUGUUUAAGGACAAUAAAUGAAGCACUCAAUAGUCAAUAAUGAAAAGUCAUUACCAUAGGCUUUCAUGAAAAUCAAAUCUCCACCACUAUAAUUUAAGAUGAUACAUCAAUUAAAAGGUCUUUAGAGGGUUGAAGUGAGGCUUAGUUAGGGGGUGUGGUCACAAGCUGAAAGAAAGGGUUAGAAUCGAGAUUGAAUUAAAAAAUUGCCUAACUAGAAAAAGAGUUAAUCUUCACUUGCAUACAAUAGAGCUUCUCUCAGAAAAUGAAAGUACAGAUAUGUAUACGUAGUUUUUUUUUGAAGAACAAGUUAAAAUAAUAUAGACUAACUAUUAAGAACAAAACAUAGCUAGGCAGUCCAUUCAACUCAAAUCUCGACAAAAAUAGGGAUUAAUUUAGGGGAUUUCAACAAUAACGGGUUAAAGGUUAAUAUUAAGGGUAAUACAAAAAAUGGCUUGUUAGGCUCAAGGAGGUUUACUAGGGGUUAAUCGUAGAGGUAGGCUUUUCAUGGCAUGAGUGGGUUAAUCUUAAGUGCCUUAAUCAUUUGGACAUAUCAAAUCAAAUGGUGUGGUCUCGACAUACAUAAUCAAGCAAGUUCUAGAAUAGUAGUUCAAUACUGACGCACUCAAAGCAAUAAUGAAAGUGAGCAUGAAAGAAUUAAUAGAUGCUCAAAAGGCUCAAAAAUCUCACAAAAAUUAUGGCUUUUUGAUGUUUAGACUCGUGAAUUCCAAUUCAAAGUAAUACCUAGACUUUGAGAAACGACCUAUAAUUUUAAAUUCUUAAUAAUCAACUUAUCAUGCUUGAUUCUCUAAUGUCUUAAAGUUUAAAUAGUCAAUGCAUAAAUCCCUAUGUUUUAAUUCAAGAUAUAUCAAUCAAAAUCAUAAACCAAUCAAAAUUUAUCCUAAAUAUGAUAUGAGAGCUUUUUAAGAGAACAAGGCAGUCAUUCAGGGAUUUUUCUGAUAAUGAAAUGAAUGCCUCCCCCCACACUUAAGAUGUACAUUGCCCUCAAUAUACAAAGAUAGGUAUUAUAAAAUAAAAAUAAGAUAGGGAGAGAAGUGAAACUUCUUGUAUGAUGAAUUCCUCGAACUAGAGUUUUAGAGAGUAAUUGGUUAGAGAGUGGAGGAGGAUACUCCAGCGAUCGUAGAGGUUCAUUAGACCAUAAGUUCUGCGCCAAAAGAAUAUUAUAUCUAGUGGUAGCUAUGGUCAUGGUCGAGCAGGACAUGGCAAUCGUGGAGAACCUUUCGCGGUGGAGUUUUAGUUCCUAUGUGAUGAUGAGCUUAAGAGCUCUAUAUAACUGUGAUAAAAUCAGGAACUUUUUAGGGGAUAUAAGGAAGAAUAAGUACUCGAAAAGAAAUAGCCAAAAUUAAUAAUUAAAAAUAAAAUUCUAAAAUCUAACAAAAAUAAAAAAUAGUUUCAAUAAAAAUUAAAAACAUAAAAUAAUAAAUAAAUAUUUCUAAACAUCUUCAUCGCUGGAUGGUUCGCGAGGUAGGACUGGCGAUGAGAUGUGGAGGUGUUGACAAAUCUGCUGUAGAGUAGCAUCAAUGUUGUCAAAUCGUUGAAAACACUGCUGCUCGAAUCAGGUGAGACGCUCAGAGAUGUCAGCAUAUGAAGCCGCCACAUGAACUGGACGAGAGGGUGGUGGUGGUUGAGUCGGUGGGUCUUCAUGCUAUGAGGGGACAUCAUCAGGAAUGUCCUCGUAGGCCUCCUCCUCGGUAGAUUGGCGAGGCGAUGCUGAGGAGGGUAGGUUCCUCAGCGCCUCUCGAUCAUCCUCAUGCUAAGCAUGCUCGAGAUGCCUUAUGGAGACAUCUGGCCGAUGAGAGUGAGGGAUGAUUAUUGGGCCGCGGUGUUGAGAAGCCCGAAGUGUCAUGCCAGCCUAGUCACGUAGUGGCCAAUGGAGAUGACUCCCUUCCGAUGCCGCUCUGUCUGGUGCUGAAUCGCAAGGGCGAUGAAAUAGGUAAGGUCGAUAACGUGCCCUUGCAACAUGCACCAUAAGAAGUAAACGUCGUGGGUGUUGACGACGUCAGUGCUCUCUCACCUCCCUGUAAUCGUGUGAGCUGAAAUAGCAUGUAAGUACCUCAGGGAUGGUGGGAGAACUGAUGCCUUGGAGCGGCUAGGAUUGUACAAGGCCGUGCUAAGAGCCAAAGUGUGCCAGCACUUCGAGGGUGAGAAAUGUAUGUGGCGACUGAAAGCAUGUAGUUCAUUCUCCUCUCGAAACUCCUCCGUAUAUAGGCCUAGAGCAGCACCAAUCUUUGGGACGCUUAGUUGGCGGAUUAGUCUACCUAGGCGAAACUAGACCGUACCGGGAUCAUCAUACCUUGUCAUUACAAUCUGGAGAUGGAACGUUGAGUAUAGUUCCAUCGUAAGCUUGAGGUAUGUUGGCUCAAUAAUCCCAAAGAACAACUCCCAAGGGUCGGUGGUUAGGAGAGCCCGAAUCGCAUCAGCCAUCUGGACUUGUUCUACGGUAGCUAAGUCGAUGCAACAGCCUGCAAUUAAGGGUCGGGCCUAAAGUAUUUGGAACAGUUCUUCCUGGGGCCCUCGGGGAAAUUGUAGAAGAGGGUGACGGAUUUCUGCGGUUGGGCCCGCGAAAGAGGACACUCCCUUCCUCUACUUCGAAGCAAGUACGACGAUUUUCUUUCCUCUUGACGAUUACAUGGUACCUGCGAUUAGAAUCAUCAAGUCAUCUUGAUGAGUGGUCGAAGUAAAAGGAAUACAAUUUCCAACUAAAAAGUAGACUUUCAACCACAACCAAACAUAACUAAUAUAAUAAUUACGUGACUUUGUCAUUGUAUGUAGUAAUGGCAUGUGUAAAAGAAUGAAGCUUUCCUAACAACAUGAAAUGUAUAAGAAAUAAUUGAACAAUGCAAAUUACAUGAGAGAUAUUGGCAUGGGAAUAUCAUGAGAAUGAGCAUGGUAAAAUCAUGGGUAUGAAGUUUCCUAAUCACUUGAUUUAACAUGCAAUGUAUAAUAACUAACUAAAAAUGCAAACUAAAUGAUAAAGUAAUGAAAGAAAUAGAAGAUAGUUCAAAAGAAAUGGAAAUUAUUGUAAUAAUAAGCGUUAGUAAUAAGUAAAAUAGAAGUGAAGAGAGUAAACAAACGCUAAGGGAGAGAGAUUGGGCGUCAAAAACGAAGUUGAAGGCGGAGCACGGGCGUGGCAGGGGGCCGUGUGGAGUUGCAGCGGCUAGGGUUAGGGUUUUUGAAUGGGGAAAAAAGUGAAUAGUGCAGGGUAUUUAUAGAUUUUGGGGCACACGCCCAUGGCGCACGCCCGUGUCCCCUAAUUUCAGCCCAUGUGAUUCGCGAAUAUCAAAUUUGGGUGCGUCUGACAUUUAGUACAUGCCCGUGUUCCUCGAGCAUGUGGGUUCACACGACCGUGUUAAUUUAACAGGUUCGACCACGGGUGUUAGACACGGGCGUGUCGCACGCCCGUGCUAGUUUCUCAAUUUCAACCACGGGUCUUCUACACGGGCAUGUCGCACGCCUGUGUUAUUUUAGCUGGCUCGACCAUUACCGUAUCGCAUGGCCGUGGCAUUUAAUCGUAGCCCGUGUUGGGAAAAUCUUUUGCCCUAUUUUCACACGGCCUUGAGCACGCCCUUGUGCUUGGCCGUGUCUCUGUGGAAACACCUGUAUUCAAGAUUUCUAUUAGUAAGUUAGGAGUUAAAUACCAAAAUUCAAAGAAAUUAAUAUUGUUAGUGCUCGGGUUGCCUCCCGAGAAGCGCUUAUUUAUAGUCUAAGCUCGACUUACCUCUCCGUUGUAUGGUCAUGGUGGUUCGAGGAGUUUAUACUCCUCAUUCCUGUUAUCAGUGUCAUCAAAAUAAGGUUUUAAACGGGUGUUGUUUACCUUAAAAGUGUCGAACCUGGGAUGACUCACCUCCACCAUACCAAAUAGAAAAAUACUGAGUACCGUAAAAAGGAUUUCCUCAUUCGGUGUGGUAGUGACAAUGUGGGGAUCUUCGGCAUCUAAUAAGACUUUAUCACCAAACUUAAGUUGAUUUGGAGAGGUAUCGGGCUCGUUUUGGCGUAGUUUCGGUUUAUCGUGUGUUCUCAGUUUAUGUGAUCUUCAUUCGUCUAGCUCCUCUAUCCAUAGCCUUCAUUCUUUAUGAAUGUGUCAUCUAUCAUUUCUGGAACAUGGCUCGUGAACUUCUUUGAAGCUCAAUUUUUGUAAAGUCAUAUUGUUAGUUUUAGUAGAUUGGUGUGGACCAUUACCUUCAAUGUUCGAUGUGAUGCCAGAAUUAUGAGCUUGAAGGGUGAUCGUUUCGUCUCCCAUACGAAGUGUAAGCUCACCUGUGCCAACAUCAAUAAUUGUUUUAGCAGUUGCUAAAAAGGGCCUCCCUAAAAUCAAAGGGGUGUUAUUAUCCUCCUCUAUGUCUAGAACAACGAAAUCAACGGGAAAUAUGAACUUAUCUACUUUCACUAGUACAUCUUCAAUAAUACCCCUAGGAAAUCUUAUAGUUUUAUCUGCCAAUUGAAUGCUUAUCCUAGUUUGUUUAGGUUUUCCAAGACCUAGUUGCUUAAACAUUUUGUAAGGCAUGUCGUUAAUACUAGCACCUAAAUCAGCUAAUGCAUGAUUUAUAUCUAAACUACCAAUUAAGCAAUGAAUUGUAAAACUCCCUGGAUCUUUCAAUUUGUGGGGUAGCUUACUCUGUAGAAUAGCUGAGCAGACUGCAUUUAGCUCCACAUGCGACGCUUCAUCCAACUUCCGCUUAUUUACUAAAAGCUCUUUUAAAAAUUUCAUUGUAUUCGGCAUCUGCGACAAAGCUUCAAUAAACGGUAAGUUAAUAUGUAAUUUUUUCAAAAGUUUAAGGAAUUUACCGAAUUGUUCGUCUGAACGGUCUUUCCUUGUCGCGUUAGGAUAUAGGACACGAGGUUUAUAUUUUUCAUUCACUAUUUUGUUAUGACUUACCUCACUUUUACCUUUGCUCACCAUAGUUUCUUGCAUCAAUUCUGGCUCAGGCGCAAUGAAUCCUUCCUUAUAUUGAGUACUAAUUGCGUUGAGGUGUUCCCUUGGGUUAGGUUCAGUACUACUUGCUAAGCUACCUUGUAGUCAUUCAAAGAUCAGUCUAGAUAGCUGGCCUAUCUGAGUUUCGAGUCUUUGGAUCGAUACUUGUUGAUUUUUAAGUGCUGUAUCGGUAUUUUGGAAACGGGUUUCUGACACUGAUAUGAAUUUCGAGAGCAUCUCCUCAAGGUUUGGUUUUUUCUCUUGUUGAUAAGGUGGCUAUUAAAAACCCUAAGGAUUUUGUGGCUUUUGAUUCCUUUGACCACCCUAGGAGAAAUUUGGGUGGUUCCUCCAACCUGCAUUCUAAGUAUUACUGUAUGGGUUAUUUUGAGAUCUAAAGUUAUUGUUACCCAUAUAGUUGACUUGUUCCUCUUCGGUUGUAGGAUUGAAAGAUUGAUAUUCUGUAUGCACACCUCCUCCACUUGAGCCACACCUCAUUACUGGAUGUACCUGCGUAGAACCAAGUAAACCAUCAAUCUUUUUAUUGAGAAGUUCUACCUGAUUUGACAGCGUAGUAACUGAGUCAACGUUAUAAACGCCGGCUGUUUUUGUUGGCUUAGUGCUCAUGACUUGCCACUGAUAAUUAUUCAGUGACAUUUCUUCAAUGAAUUCAUAAGCCUCUUCAGGUGUUUUGUUGUUGAUGGUUCCUCCAGCAGCUGCGUCAAUCAUCUGUAUUGUCGAGGGAUUCACACCAUUGUAAAACGUUUGAACUUGCAGCCAUAGAGGUAACCCAUGGUGAGGGCACCUUCGCAAUAGAUCAUUGUAUCUCUCCUAUGAAUCAUAAAGUAUUUCUAAGUCUAUCUGCACAAAAGAAAAGAUAUCAUUACGUAAUUUAGCCGUUUUAGCCGGCGAAAAAUAUUUUAGUAAAAAUUUUUCGGUCAUUUGUUCCCAAGUAGUAAUUGACCAUCGUGGUAACGAGUUCAACCACUGUUUAGAUUUAUUCCUCAAUGAAAAAGGGAAUAACCGAAGACGAAUGGCAUCAUCAGAAACGCCAUUGAUUUUAAAUGUAUCGCAAAAUUCCAGAAAGUUUGCUAAGUGAGCGUUGGGAUCUUCCUCCUGCAAACCAUCAAACUGAACAAAUUGUUGUAUCAUCUGAAUAGUGUUAGGUUCUAAUUCAAAAGUAUUUGCAGCUACAGCAGGUCUAACUAUGCUAGAUUCAGUUCCUGAUAAAGAAGGUUUAGCAUAAUCAUACAUAGUGCGUGGAGCAGGAUUUUGAUUAAUCUCAAUUGCAGGAGGUAGCUGAUUGCCUUGGUUUUCAGCCAUCUCUUCGGUUGGGGGUUGAGUAUCGUCUUCUUGCUCGUUCUCUACGUAUCUUAAGCUUCGCAUUAUUUCUCUUUGGUUUUUACGAACUAUUCGAUCGAUUUCUUCGUCAAAAAGUAGUGGCCCUGACGGGUUUCUUCUAGUCAUAAACUAUGAAAACCUGCCAAGAGAAAGAAAGAGUAGGUUAAUAAAUAAUAAUAAUGAUAAAAUUAAAUUAAAUUGCAAGAAAAAUAAAUGGCUAAAGUAAUAAAAAUUAAGCGUUCCUAAUAUUUUAGUUCCCCAGCAACGGUACCAAAAACUUGAUCGCGAGGUUUCGUGAUAGGUUUUAAAUAUUUAUAACUACUCGUUCUUGAACUAACUAUUAUCGCGAUGUAGGCAAGUAUACCUAUCGAAUAGUAGUAUAGUUUUAGCAAGACCGGAUUGUCAAACCCAAAGGAACUAAAAGUACUAGUAAUAACUAUCUUUUUAUUAUCUAGCCUAAGAAUAAAGAGAUUUUGUUUUAAUUAACUAAUUAUCUAAACUAAGAACUCACAGAGGAAAGAAUUGGGGAAUUAUUUUUGGGAAAAUCGAUUGAAUGAAGACAAUACCUAAGGAAAAAUCCACCUAGACUUUACUUGUUAUUUUGGCUCCGAAUCGGACGAUUUAUUCAUUCAACUUGUUCCGUAGAGAUCCCUAAGUUAUGUUAUUAUCCCUAUUCAAGACUAAUAACGUCUAAUCCCUAGAUUGAAUAACCGAAACUUUUCUCUAAUUAACACUCUAGGGUUGCAUUAACUCAAUCUAUGGAUCCCCUUAUUAGGUUUCACCCUAAUCCGGCAAAAUCUUGUUACCCUAUUUCUAAGCCCGCAAUAAACUCCGCUUAAUUAUGACAAAAGUACUCUUAGACAGGGUCUAUUCCUCCUCUGAAUAAAAGUAUGUCUUGAAUCAGUAUCCUGGGAUAUCAAAACAAGAAUUAAGAACACAUAAUUAAGAACAAGUUAAAUAUUUAUCAUAAGAUUCGGAAAAUAAUAACAAGAUUCAUCUUAGGUUUCGUUCACCUUAGGUAUUUAGGGGUUUUAGUUCAUAACUAAAUAAGAAAACAUCUCAGAAGAAUAAAGAAUACAAAACAUAAACAAAACUCAAAACUCCUGAAGGGAAAUUGAGGAGAGAUCUUCAGUCUUGAUGAUGAAUCCGGCUUUCAAGAUGGAUCAAUCGGCUUCCUUGGAGUAAUUCCUUACCCCCUCUUCUUCCUCCCUUUUUCUUCCUCCUCUAGGGUGUAUUUAUAGGCUUUGGAAUGCCUAGAAGACCUUAAAAGUGGCCUUUUCCGAAUUGGACUUAACUUGCACUUGGUAGGGACACGCCCGUGUGACACGCCCGUUUGCGAUUACUUCAGGCCGUGUUUGAGCCUGUUAGAUUGGCACGGGCGUGUGCUAUACCCAUGUGAGGAGGUCCAGGCCAUGUUGAUAUCGUACUUUGGCCCAUUUUCUCUGUUUUUGGCCCGUUUCUCGUUCCUUUCGCUCUCCUAUGCUCUCCUAAGUAUAAAACAUGAAAUUAAAGCAUUAGGAGCAUCGAAUUCACCAAUUCUUAUGGAAAAUCAUCCAUAAAAUGCAUUAAACAUGGGGUAAAAAUAUGUAUAAUUUACGAUUUAUCAAUGCUUCAUACUGAAUUUAAAGGUCUUGUUAGGGAAAGUUGGAAGGACGACGUGGAGGUGGAGGUUAAUUUAAAAUGGUUCCAAGAUAUGGUACAAGAUUGGAACAAACAUGUUUACAGUAAUAUUUUUGUGCGCAAGAGGAAACUGGUAUCUGAGUUGAAUCUGGUGUAGAAAAUUUUAUAUUUAAGGCCUUCGAUACGACUUUACAAACAUGAAUUAGUAUUACAUAAAGAGAUUGAAGAAAUCUUGAAGCAUGAAGAAUUGUUAUGGUUCCAAAAAUCUAAAUCGAAAUGGCUUACAUUUGAUGAUAGAUAUAUAAGCUAUUUCCAUGGACACGUGAUGGAAAAUCAAAAGUGGAAUAGGAUUGAGGGGCUAAGGUUUGAAAAUGAUGAAUGGUGCUUUGAUGGAGAUGCAUUGAAACAACAAGAAGCUAUUCAUUUCAUGAAAAGUUUCAAAGGAAAAAAAUAUGGGAUGACUCUAAAAAUUGACUUGGAUAAGGCGUAAGAUAAGAUUAGAUGCGAUUUUUUGGAAGACACGCUAUCGGAAGCAGGAGUACCACGUUUAUUGGUUUCAGUAAUUCUAAAUUGUGUAUCAUUAGCCUCACUCCAAGUCCUUUGGAAUGGUGAUGUCACAAAAACUUUUAGACCAUCACACAGAAUAAGACAAUGAGACCCUCUUUCGUCAUAUCUAUUUGUACUAUGGAUGGAAAGUUAGGACACCUAAUUGAGGGGCCAGUCAAUUGUGGGAAUCGGUCUCCAAUUUUCUUGUUAAGAAGGGCCCCAGCUUUAUCUCAUUUAUUUUUCACAAAUGAUCUUAUUUUAUUUUUCACAAAUGAUCUUAUCCUUUCUUGUGAAGCCAAUAGGAAUCAAGCAGCUCAAGUUAAUGAUAUUCUUCACAUACUCUAUCAAUUUUUUGAGCCAAAAAGUAAAUAAAGAAAAAUCACUAGUAUUUUUCUCUCUCAAUACACCAAUUGAUUUUAGCAGAUGCAAUUUGUAGAUAUGUUGGUUUCAUGCGUAUGGAUGAUCUUGGUAAUUAUCUCGGUAUGCCAUUGUUUCAUAAAAGAGUCACAACUAAUACUUUUGAUUUUGUGGUUAGCAAAGUUCGAAAUAAGUUAAAUGGGUGGAAACCAAGGAAGAUAUCUUUGGUAGGAAGAGUUAUGUUGGUAAAAUCAGUAUUGCUUGCUAUUCCUAACUAUUUCAUAAGUACAGCUUGUAUGCAUGUUUCUAUAUGCAGUGAAAUUAAUAAGUUAGCUCGUAAUUUCAUAUAGGGAACGACAUCGGACCAGGAAACCAACAUUAGUGUCUCGAGGGAUUGUUGUCGACCUCUCAAUUUCGGCGGUCUUGGACUCAGAAGCUUAGUUUAUCAAAACAAUUUUUUUUUUUUGAAUUUGAGUUUCCAGAUUCUCACCAAUACGGAAUCUUUGUGGUGCAAUUCUUGAGAAACAAGUAUAGUGUACAAUAGUGUUACCGGAGUCCAUAGCAAGCAGUAAUUGCUCUUAUAUUUGGAGAUCUUUAAUGAAUGUAUGGUCAGAUGUGAUUGCUAAUGUGUUCUAAUCUUUAGGGGAUGGUCGACUUACGAACUUCUAGAAUGAUGUAUGGGUUCGUCAAUUUGGUCAACUUAGAGGCUUUUACAUAGGUGUUGGGCAACCAAAUGAUACUUUUCGUGUCUGUACCAAGUACAUUACAACCAAAUUCGGAACUCCCAACAACUAAGAUAUCUUCACUUUUCCUUUCAUAUUUUCUGAGAAUAACUUUAGCAUCACUUAACUCUUGCUCAUUUGGUUUCAAAGUUGCAUUCGUUUUAGUAAUCAUCUCAUUCUUUUCUUUGAUAGUUUUAUCAAGCACUACGUUAGCCUUAUUAAGGUUAGCGAUAACAUCAUCUUUUUCUCUUACCAUAGUUUCAAUCUUUCUUUUUCUUUUUUCAGAAUGAUAACUUCUUCCCUCAAGUACUCAUUUAAUUAGCAUAAUGUUUCCAUGCUUUUCAACAUUUGGCUGAACACUUCCUCUUGGUCAUUAAAAAGAACAUCAUUGUCGUGAUUUGAAUUUGAUGCUUUAAUCAUUGAAGGUGGAUGAGGGAUAGGACAACCUUUCUUCUUGGACUUCAUUAUUACAAACUGUAGCUUAGGAUCUCAUUCGAACAACUCUCGAAGCUCGCUUUGAUACAAAUUGCAAAGUAACACAAGGAUACUCCAAAAACACAUGAAUUUGAUCAAAGACACUCCAAAAACACACCCUAAGUGACACCACAAACAGACUAUUUAUAGGUUGAUGCAAUAGUUCAUUCAACAGAGUUUUGAUAAGCUUUAAACACCUAUUUAAAAGAUCAAAUUAUCUUAUUAAUUAUCUAUAGUAUAUAUCUCAUAAUAGCCUUCAUAAACAAGUUCCCCAACAACUUGAAAUACUCUAAAAGAUAAGGAUAAGAACUCAAUCGUUAUCAAAUAAACUCAUGGCCUCAUCACAAGGAUCGGUUAAUUUGAGUCCUAGCCAAACUAUAUUGUUGUUUUGUCAAAUAUUCCACAAUUUUGUAGGUCAUAAACAUCCAACAUCAAAGAGGCCAAAAACCUUCCCAUGGCCCAAGCAAAAAUUCAUUCUCGUUUUAACAGAACAUGGAAUGAGCAAGUAAAAAAGACCCCAACAGUCGCCCUGAUUUGAUUCUACAUUGUAAUUAGUCGAACAUUCAUUUAUACAUAUAUUAUAUUUGUGAAUGUACUAUAUUUUUAAUAUUUUACUUUUUUUUAAAAAAGAAUUUAUAUAAACAAAAAAACUCAUUUGUGAUUAUUUUUUCUUGACAAACAUAUAGAAGAAAUUAUAUUAAAUAUGCAAACUUCUAUUUUUAUAAAAAGCAUGUAUAAUCAUAUCCAACUGAGAAUUUUGGUUGGAUAUAAAUUCUUAUAUCCAUUUAUUGUAACUAAUUAAUGUUUAAUAAAUAUAUAAUAUGCGUUCUCUAUAACAAUUAUUUUUAUAAUAAUAUUUCAUUAUAAUAAUUAAAUUUAUUAUAAAAUUGAUUUUUAUAUUUUAUUUUUUUCUUUUAUAUCAACUUUUCAUUUAUAACAAUAAUCAUAAAAUAUGAAGUACAGUCUUUACUAAUUUAGUUUUCUAUAACAAUCUUUUGUCUCAAAUUUAUGUAAAAUUAGUUUUAUUCCAAAUUAAAAUAAAAAUAAAUAAAUUUUAGUUAAUAUAUUAUUUUAAUAAUAUGUUUAAAUUUUAUAUAAAAAUAUAUUAAUCAUAUUUUACUAAAUAAAAAUAAUCUUUAAUAAAUUUAAUUAUAUUUGUAAUUUUUAUUAAAGAUACGAUCUAAAAUCACUAACUACUAAUAUUAUAGUUUUUUAAUUUAAAAAUUUAAAAAUUCAAAUAUGAUCUAAAUUUUAAAUGUUGUUAUAGAUAUAUAAUUGUCACAUCUCUAUCAUAUUCAAAAUUUUAACAGAUAAAUGAGAUUGCUAUAAAGAGAACUAACUUUAUAUGCAUAAGUUUAAUUUUAUUAUACAAUUAUUUUUUAAAUUAAGUAGAUGGAGACAUUUUUUUAAAUGCUUUAAUAUAUAUUAAAAAUUGAUUGCAUCUCAAUAUUUUUUAUUUUUAAAAAAAUAAAAUUUGUAAAAAAAUGGUAAUAUUAGUGCUUGCUCAAAGGUCAAGUUGUAGAACAACUAGGCCCACGACACCACUAAAUUAAAAUUUAGCUACACUUCCUAAAACUCCAAAAUAAGAAAAUAAAGGAGGGAUUUAAAGAACCAAAUAGAAGAUUCAAUAUUUGGUUUGGUACACUUAACAUUUACUAUAUAAGUCUUUAUAUAGAGCCCAAGGUCUCACUAUCUUCGUUUUUCUAAGCAAUGUGGGAAAUGAGUUGUUAUAUAAACUCACAAUCACUUACUUUUUUAUUCCUAAAUAAUAUGGGAUUCGUUCCUCUACUAACAUAAAAUUUAAAACUAAACUUAGUAUCUAAAGACUAUUCACCAAAGUUAAACUUCUUACAAUAUAAACAUUAACCAAAUAUAUUUUUCAAUAAGUUGGUGUUGAUAUUCAACACUCCCUCUCAACACUAGCUUUCACCACGUCAAACUAAUGAUAGAAACUUCUGAGCUUGUUGUCACAUAAGCCUUUUGUAAACAAGUUUGCAAUCAACUACACACGGCUUCUUUUGGAUUCCGACAAAUUCUGCAACUUCUUCUUAUCACCAGUCAUGUGAUUUGAGCAGCCGAAAUCAACUAUCCAACCAUUCUCAUAAUCAAUUUGAUUGGAUGUUACAAUUGUAAAAGCCAUCUCCUCUUCCACAAUAAACAGUGCAUCGACAUCCCAUUCUUUUUCAUUGUUAACGGUAGCAAGAUUACCUUCCAUGGGUUUUUUCUUUGACCAGUAGGUGUGCACCUUGUGACCCUUUUUACCAAAAUUUUAGUAGCUCCCUCUGAACUUUCGUCCAUUGACAUAGGACUUUGCAGCUCCCUCUACACGAGAACUCCCUUCAUUUCGUAAACUCUUUGCCUUGUCCUAAUUUCUUUUCAAUCCACCUUGUUGCUUGGUAUUUCAACUGCUCUUGUUGGCAUAAAGCGCUUGCUCAUCCUCUUUCAGUGGAGCUCUUCACAUAUUAUUUACUGAUGCUUCUUGACCAACAAGCAAAUUCUCAAACUCAACAAGUGAUAGUGGGGUUUGCCAUCCUUGUACUAUAGCAACAAAGCUUCUAAACUUUGGUCUCAAACCAUGGAUAAUUACCCUCUUCACCUUGGUGUCCUUGAUUGGAUCUUAUGGAUCCAAAUCACCAAUCUCUCGCCAUAACGACUUCACCUUAUGGAAAACUACAAGAUUGUCAUGUCACGUAGCGUCAUCGAUAAUAAAUCGCCCUCGAGAAGUUGAAGCUUUAUGUCAUUUCUCUUGGAGGACAAACUUGACAAUGUAUAUUAUGCUUCUUUGGGAGCUUUGGCAUCCCGAAUAUGCUCCAACACGUCAUUUUCAAUCGUCAUCUUCAAAGAGAAAAUUGUUUUACUGGAUUUUAUUUUCCAUUUUCUUAGCGUGCCACUUGCAUCCUCGGCUUCUAGUGGUGUCACUUCAUUUCUAUUGGUAACCUUCCAAAGGUCUUGUUCUUCCAUAUAAGACAUUGUACAAGUUGAUCAUGUAUUAUAAUUGUUGCUAUUAAGUUGCUUCAUUUCGCCAAUUAUUCUCACAAUUAAAUACUUAAAGAGUGAAAGUAUUUUAUGAACAAUGUAUCAGGAAGUUCCCAGAAAAGAGAUGAGGGUCACAACAAACACUCUUAAGUACCAAGUCUUCAUUAGCCAGAACCUUUCCUAGACAUGCAAUUUCACACUACCACACUUCCUUCCAACAACUAAGCAACUAAGGAUAAUCUUCAAGUAGCUAUGAUAAUUUAUUUUCUAAUGUGGAAAAUUAAACAAUGCUACAACUAUAGGGCAUACUAAGAAAAUUUUCAGUCCUCUAACCUGGCUCUAAUACCAAUUGUAGAACACUUAAAUUCACGACACCACUGAACUAAAAUUUAGCUACACCUCCUAAAACUCCAAAAUAAUAAAAGAAAGAAAGAAUUUAAAAAAUCAAAUAGAAGAUUCAAUAUUUGGUCUGGUGCACUUAACAUUUAUUACAUAAGUCUUUAUAUAGACCCAAAGUCUUACUACCUUCGUUUUUCUAAGCAAUGUGGGAUAUGAGUUUUUAUAUAAACUCACAAUCCCUUACUUUGUUAUUCCUAGAUAAUGUGAGAUUCAUUCCCCUAUUAACAUAAAACUUAAAACUAAACUUAGUACCUAAAGACUACUCACCUAAGUUAAACUUUUUACAAUAUAAACAUUAACAAAACAUAUUUUACAAUAAUUUGGUGUUGAUAUUCAACACGAGUUACCUAUUUGAGCUUGAAAACCUGUCCAAUAUUUAGAAUAGUUUGAAGAAAAAUAUUAAGCUAUAAAAAAAUGAAAAUUAAGCAAAAAAAAAAUAUUAAGCUUGAUUAACUUUAGUGUUGGGCUCGUCUUCCAAAAUUUAAACGUCAAGCCCUACCUUUUCCAUUUUCAACUUUAUAAUAUGUUUAUUUUAUUUAUGUAUCAUGUAAAAGUUAAAUACACUAUUAUAUUGUAAAUAGUAAAAUAACAUUUAGUUGUUGGUAUUUAGAAAUUUUAAAUAUAUAUAUAAUGAUUGUAAAACACGUAUAGAAUUACUAAAUAUUAAAUAAAUUAAAAAAUAAUAUAGACAAUUCAAACAAGUUCAAGUUAAUCAUUUACAAAUAUUACUGGACAUUAACAAAUUUAAGAUUUACAUCUCAUCGAAUAAUACAUAUAAGUAUAGUUUUCAUCCAAUAAGAAAAAAAUUAAUUUUUUUGUGGUGUAUAAAUUUUUUGAAAUUAUUAUCUCAUGCAUAGAUUUAAAACUAAUUUUUAUUUUUAUUUUUGAUGUAUUAGUUGAAAAAAUAGAUAAUCAACCUUUGUAUAACAACCACCUUUUAUAAUAUCCAAAUUUGUUGUAUAAUUAAUUUUUUAUAUUUUAUUUUCUAUCUUUAUAACAACUUUUCAUCUAUAACAGCAACAACCAUAAAGUAUGAAACACAUUUUUACUAAGUUAGUUCUUUAUAGAAUCUUCUUGUCUUAAAUUUUAGUAACGUUCUUAAGUGAAAUAAAAAUAAUAAAUUUUAGAAUAUAUUAUUUCAAUAAAAUAUUUAAUUUUUUAAAGGAAAUGUUAAAAUUUUAUAUAAAAGGGAAAUUAUUUGGUACACUUCUAGUUAAGUUUUUAGAUUUUAUAAGUAAGGUCAAGGGUUGACAAAUCUCCUAUAAGAAUAUAGUAAAAUAUUUAAAAAAAAGAGACGCAUAGUAUAUAAUAAAAAAUAUAAAAAUAUAUUAAUCAUAUUUUAUUAAAUGAAAAUAAUAUUUAAUAAAUAAAAUUACAUUUGUAAUAAAUUUUAUUAGAGAUGCAUAGUAUUAUUAAUAUAUUAUAGUUUUUUAAUUUAACUUUUAAAAAUUAAAUAUGAUCUAAAUAUCAAAUAUUAUUAUAAAUAUAUAAUAAAUACAUGUAUAUAACAUCCAAAAUUUUAACAAACCAUUAAUAUUUUCCUCUAAAAUUUAGGAAGAAUUAAGACAGGUAGAGUUGUCUGAAUUUAUUAAAAAUUAAUAAUUUCUCCCAUGUAUAAAAUUCACCAUCGGUCUUUUAAAUGCACAAGUUGCCUAUAUAGGAUAUCUAUCCGAGGAUAGGUUAUAUACUGCCUCCCAUGAAUUUGAUUCCAAACAAUAUUUUUUCUUUUUUAAUAAUUUGGAAAUGUUUUUGAAUCAAAUCCAUUAAAUUAUCCAUUUUUAAUUUAAUCUAUCUAAUCAAUUUAAUUAGUUUUAAUUAAAUAAAUUCAUAAAAAAUAAAAAUGAUUAAAAGAAUUAUAAAACUUUAUUCAACCUGUUUUAAUCUAGUUCAAUCGAUUUGUAUUGAUCCGUUGAUCAAUUAAUUCUAUGAUUUACUUCAGAUAAUGUAUUGGUUGAUUCCCAAUUUCGUCUAGUUUCAACAAUUUUGGUCAAUAUUGUUCAAAUUAAUAAUAAAAAAUAAGGUAAACUACCAAAAUAGUUACUUUUGUUUGCCUUAGAUUACAUUUUAGUCACUUAUGUUUGAAAUGUUACGUUUUAGUCACUUACGUUAUCGUGUUAUAACAUUUUAGUCACUAAGCCAUUAAUUGACAUUAACGGUAAGCUGACAUAGCUCGUUAAAUUAUCAUUUCAAACAAAAAUUUUAGGUUAAAUCCUACAAUGAAUUCCUAUAUUUUUUUCAUUUUGAGCAAUUUAAUUUUUUUUUCUUUUAACUUUCUUUCUUUUUUCUUUAUCUUUCAUUCUCCUCUACUUCUCCCUCUAUUUUCCUCCUUUCUUCAUUUUUUUAAUGUAGUUUUUUUUAUGUUUUACAUUUGUUAAAACUAGUCCACAAGCUCGCCUCACUUGAAAAAAUUAAAUUGUUCAAAAAAAACUGUAUAAGGACUAUCUUUAAGAAAUGCAAAACAUAAAAAAAAACAACGUUAAAAGAAAUGGAGAAUGGAGGAAAAUAGAGGGAAAAACAUAAAAGAAUUGAAAAGAAAGAGAAAAAAAGAAGAAGUUAAAAUAACAUAAAAGAAAAAAUUAAAUUGCUCAAAAUGAAAAAAAAAUAUGGGAUCAAUUUUAUAAAUUAAUCCUUUUCUUCUUUUUUUUUUUUGAAAUGAUGAUUUAACGUGUCACGUCAGCUUACUGUUACACCGUUAACGACUUAGUAACUAAAAUGUUACGACGCGAUAAAGUAAGUGGCUAAACUGUAACAUUUCAAACAAAAGUGACUAAAAUGUAAUUUGAAGUAAACAAAAGUGACUAUUUUAAUAGUUUAUCCUUAAAAAAAAUUUAAAACAUAAAACAUUAUAUUUCUAAUAUUGAAUGGAUAAUAAUUCAGAGGUGGUAACUCAUUUUACUUUUUGUUACUAUGAUUGUACUGUAAUUAGUUGUAAACAAAAAUAAUUAGCUUCUGCUUCACUGAUAUUUCAAAUGAUGUAGGGGAAUGACAAAAUAAGACGUUUCGAUGCUUUGACUUGUCCAACUCGACAUGGGCAAUUUUGUCAUUACUGAAAUGGGGUAAGGUUAAAAAGUAAAAAUAUUUUCAAUUUUAAGGACUGUUAUAUAAUUAAAGGUGAGUUUGGAUGAGCAGUGUGUUUAGUUGUGUUUAGUGUAAAAACAACGAUGGCGGUGAGAUUAGAUACUGUAGCAAUACUAUAGCGUGAGACAAAAAGUAAGUUAAACGCACCUCACCACAGUAAACCGCCCAUCCAAACGAAACCUAAGUGUAUAAUAGUAAUUAAGAUAUAUAUAUAUAUAUUAAAAAGGUAAAAAUUUCAAAAAAUAAAUAUAAAAUUGAAGACAGGUUGAGUAAGAUGAGUGUUAAAGAAAAUAAUAUCCAAAUUGAGGAGGGUUAAAGCUAAGCGGGCCGACCCCUUGGAUGGGUAGAGGGAUUAUUUAAGGGGGGUAUUUAUGGUGAUUUUUUUUAUACAAAUUUUAACAUUUUAAUAUGUGUAUGUUAUUUUUUUUAUAUUGUGCACGUGUUUGAAAAAAAAAUUAUAUCCUACUUCAAAAUUACCAAAUCAAUUAAGGGUGUAUUUGGUAUUAUUUUUUCGACUUUUACCAUUCAAAAUAUUUUUAAAAAGUACGUACUUUUUAAUUGUAACAACAAUAUUAAAUCGAAGUUUAAUUGUAAUAUAUUUUAAAACUAUAGAAAAAUAGAAAAUGGUUUGUAAAGCUAUAUUGAAAGGGUAUGGUUAAUGUUGGAAAAAAAAGAGAGAGAAUAAUUAUCCAAGUUUCUAGACUUGGCAUGCCUAGAAAUAAGACUAUGAGUGCUACCUUUGUUUUAUAUAGUAUAUAUAUAUAUAUAUAUCUCAACAUACCAACUAAAUUGUUGAAAAUAAUAUUGCUUUUUACUUCUUUUUCACUUUAUUUUAAAUUAGGAAGAUUAAUAAACCUCCUUUCCUUGUUAGAAGGUAUUACCUAAGAAGGAAGUUCAAAGCCAUGAGUACAUGCUUGGUUAUUAUCGUGCAAGAAUGGGGUUGUUGAGUUGAAUCCAUUUAAUUAAAUCCAAGAUUGAAAAUUAUUAUUUUAAAUAUUUUUAUAAUAAAAUGAGAGAAAAAAAAGGUAAAUGAUAACUUUUUGUAAAUAAAUUUAGUUAAUGAGACCUUUCCUUCUAUAGUAGAAAAUAAAAUAUUUCUAUUUUUAGAUAAAAAUUCGAAUUAAUUUGACUCGAAUUAGUAUUAUUUUUAUAUGAAAUUAAUUUAAAUGAAGUAAAAAAAAAAGAGUAUAGAAAUGAAAUUACAAAGAAAUAGUUUGGUAUGAAAACAUUGGUCCAAAAAUAGGAAAGUAGGGCAACAUGGGUAUAAAUUUUGUGCAGAGAGGGAUUGCAUUAUUCAUUUGAUGGAGGAAAUAUGAGUAUUAAUGGACAACAGUCUGCCAAGCCUAAGCCUUCCACUUCUUCAUAACAUUUUCUUUACGUUUUGCUUUCGGCUUUUACCUCAAUAUUCCACUACUGCCUUCCAACUCUCAUUUUUUAUGCCAACCUAUAAUAACUUUAUCACUUCAAAAUUCCCUUCCUCAACUACAAAAAUAACUUCCAACACUUUGAUUAAGUGUAAGGGUUUGAUUAAAUCGAGUAAAUUUUUCGAAUUAAUCCAGUUGAUAAAUUUUAUUUUAUCAACUUAACUUGACUUGAAAAUAUUUAGAAUUAAGUUGAGCAAAGUAGAGUUGAAUAAAUUUAUUCGAGUUAAAUUAAAAAAGUUAAACGGCCAUAUUGAAAUCUUAUUGACAAUAUGACUAAAUUUUAAGUUAAAAAAUAUAAAUACCAUAUAUAUAUUUUUAUAUAUUUAAGAAAUCUUAAGAAGAAAAUAAGAAAAAAAAAGAUAUAAUUAGAAUGAAAAACUAAAUUUGAUAAUUUACUUGUUUAAAGCCUCAAAUUUUGUCAUUUGGAUUUUUUAAAUUUAUAAUUUAACAUUAUUAUAUAAUUUUUAAUAUUUUUAAUUUUUUGAAUAUAUAAAUUUUUGGAAAAAUAUAUUUUAUAAAUAUAUUGAAUUUCUGAAGAAUAUUUCAAAUUUCUUUUUUUUGUAAUUUUUUAGAGUGAUCAAGUUGCACAUUUUCAAAAUUGUCAGGAUCAAUGAAUAUUUAUACCAAUUUUUUAUUCGAGUUUUAAAACUCAAUUCAACUUGAAUUCAAAAAUCUGAAUCACUUAUUCGAUUUGAUUUUUUUAAAAAAAAAAUUUAAUAACUCAAUUCAAUUAACUCGAAAUUCAACAAAAAAUCGAAAUAAAUCAAAUUUUGUUCAACCCUACACUUUUGAAAUAAAAAAUAUUGUCAAAAAAUGCUUUCUUACCCAAAUGUGAAGGCUAACAUUUAGUCUAUUUUUGUUUGAAAUUAUUAAAAUAUUUUUUUAUUUAUAUUAACUAUUUAAAUGAUAUUUAAAAUUUCAAAUUAAUUUAUAUUUAUAUAUUAUAUUAAAUUAUGUAAAUACCAUUUAUUGUUAUAAUAAUUUUAAAAAUAUUCCAUGUAUUAUUUUUAUAAAUAAUUUAUAUUAAAUAAUUAAAAAUUAUUUAAAAAAUAUAUUUCAUGUAUAAUUAUAUUAAAUUAUUUAAAUAACAUCUAAGUUAAUUUAUUUUUUUUAAUUUCCAGCAUGGACAUUUUAACUUUACAAGCUACCCAUUUUCACUAUACUUUUUAAAAAUAAUUUUUCCAAACUAAAAUUUUCAAAAACACUUUUCAACCACAACAACAAUAUUAUUGUCAAAAAGUACUUUUAAAAAAUAAAGUGUUCAUUUUAAAUAGUGUUAUAAAGUAACAAAUAGCAUUUAAAUAAUGUUUAAAUUAGCUAAUAUUAUGAUAUUUUAACAAAAAUAUAGAAAAUAAUUUGUUAUAAUUUGUUGUUAAUAUUUUAAUAUAUAAAAAAAAUUUAAAUAUUUUUUAAGCAAUUAACUAAAGAAGGGAAAGUACCAUAUGUUGGAGAGAUGAAAACAUAAUUAAAUUAUCAAAGUGCUCUUGGGAGAGAAAAACUAAAAAUUUUAACUUCUUCAUUUGGGGAAAAGUGAUUUAGAAAAGUAAAAAAUAAAUAAAAAAAGUUGCUUGUUUAACAUUCGUUUUGCUUCAAAAAGUGCUUUUAAUAUCAAAAAUACUUCUAAAAAGCAUUAUUAAACACAACCUAAAACUUGUAACCACAAUCUUCAUAACAAUGUUGGCAAAAAAAUUAUUUAUUUAUUUUUUAUAGUAUUUAAUUUUUUAUAGAAUAUUGUGUUAUAUGUUAAUUUCAUUUCAUUUUGUUUUAUUUGUCUUUAUCUUUAAAACUUGCAUCGGAAGUAUUCAACAACCUCUUGACUUAGUAACAAGAAUAUUAAAUUAUAAAGCAUGAGAGUUUGGGUUUGAUCCCAAAGAACCCAUCUCUCACCCUCAAUUAUUAAAAAAAAAAAUCGUAUUGGAAGUAAAACAAGUGAUGCAUACAAUAAAUGACAAAAUGAAAAUAUUUGGUAUACAAGUUUUUAAACUCCACAAGUAAAGUCAAGAGGUUGAUAAAUAUCUUAUAAAAGUAUAAUAAAGUAUUAAAAAUAAACAAAUAUUUAAAAAAAGAAAAGAAAAGAGAUAUACUACUAUCCGUUUAUCAAAUACUGACCCUAAUAAAAAUAUGCAUUUGAUUGAAUGCUAAUAUUUUCUUCAAAAUAAGUUCUAAUUGUUUAAUAAAUCGAAAAACAAAAAAGUUUAAAAUUAUCUUUUAGCGAGUGUUUAAAAACUUUAAAGUUAACUUAACAGCAACGGUAUCAAUUGAACUAAUAUUAUAUAAUUAAACUUUAUUAUUAUAUGAUGCACAAAAGUUAGAAAUUCUAAGGUAGCAUAGUAUGGAGAAUAGAAUAAAAGGUACACGAAAACUAACCCUAUAUGCAAUGAUGAAAUGAUAAAUCACGUUUCUUUGCAGCCCCUUUUUUUUUAAAAAUUUUUAAUGUUUGAAGUUUGAACCCUUCCUUUUUACGCAAAUUAUUGAUUUUUUUUCCCUCAAAAGCCUAAAACCCUCUCUUGCUUUGUUGGUUUUUCUAGUUUCCUUCUCUUCCAUUUGAAGUUUGAACAUUGAAGAUUUCACUUUAUAAAUGCAAAAAGGGGCAUUGAAUUGUGACCAAACAAAAAACACAAGAAAAAUGGGUUUCUCUCUCUCCCUUAAUUAAAACACAAUCUUGCUUAACUAUUGAACUCAACUUUACCCUGAUUUUGCUGCAUCUUUUCAUACGAUUCUUUGGCAUUCCACGGUGAAAAAGGAGGGGGAAUAAAAGAAAUUUGUUAACAAACACAAUAAUUUUGUCAGCCAAACCUUUUUUAUAUAAUAAUUAUUCAUUUUAUAUAUCUCAACAAUUUAAUCUAAUAUCUUCAAUCAUCUUAUUCUAGAGGCCAUUGUUGUAAGAGUCAGAUUAUGUUUUGUCCCCUCUAAAAAAAAGUACAAAUUAGUCUCUAUAACAUUAGAUCAAAUAACAAACUAACUCUUCUAUUAAAAAUUUCAUCAAUUUCUCUUGUUAAAUUGAUUCCUGUAUGUCAGAAUGAGGCACAUGUGGUGUCAGCUAUGCCAACUUUUAACAAUAGAAAUGGAUAAAAGUUUUAAUAAAAAAAAACUAGUUUAUUAUUUGAUCUAAUGUACAGGGACUAAUUUGCUCAUUUUAAAAAAAAAGGAUAAAAUGUAAUCUAAUUCCUAAUACAAGGACAUCUAUGAUGCUUUUACCUAUUUUAACAUCACCUUGAUCAUUUUUAUUUUUUUUGAACUUAAAUUUAGAUCUACUGUUAAUUUUAAUCUCAAUCACUAUAAUAUCUAAUGUCAUAAUUAUAAUAACUAGUUUUACCACCUUUGUUGUUUUUAAUUUAUCGGAAUCAAUGGGGUCAUCACAUUAUCUGCAUUCUUUAUUUCUUUCUCUAAGCAUAAAAUUUUGAAUCAUCAAAUAUGUUGUAAUUUUUUCCCUAGUACAAAGGGGAUUUCAAGUUGAGGAUAGGAAAAAGGUUGCACAUGUUGAGAUUCAAAUCCCAAAGUUGGUAAAUAUCAUCUUCUAAAAUAUGGUUUCAUAAACUAAUUGAAUUAAACUCCAAAUCCAAUUGAAUUUAACUCGUGUUGGGUUGAGUUGGAAGGAUUUAGUGUCCAUUCAGUAAAGUGUUGAGGGAGAGUGAAGUUUGUCCUUAGCUAAGAAGUCCAACUUAGCUCAACUUGGUUGUCCAAAAAAAAAGAAAUAAAGUUUGACCAAAGGAAAAAAAAAAAAAGAAAAAGGAAAACAAAAUGGAAAGAGAGUAAAAGAAGGAAAGAUGAUGACAUAAGAGAAAUGGUGAGUGGUUGAAAAGGGAAAAGGAAAGGGGGGGGGGGGAAGGGUUAGGUGAUAGCCAAUUGGACAUUUUGCUAUUUAUAAAAAAACAAAGGCAGAGGACAUCACAUGAAGACCACAUGGUUGGAUCAGAUAGCCGAUGCUUUCUUAAUCAUUCAUUCACUCCAAUUUUUAUUUUUAUUCUCUGCAAAUAUUAUUAUUAAUAAUGGCAGAUGUUUUCGUAUAAUUAAAACUUAUUUGCUUUGUUUUUUAAUGCCUUUCAUUAAAAAAGUAGUAUUCACCAAGCUGUAAAAAUGUGAGUUUGGGGCUAAUUCUGACUUUUUAAGGUCAUUGUUUUCAGCAAAAGAAUUCUGUCAUUUACAAUUACAUCACUAAGCUAUUAGGACAAUAAUGUAACUGUAAUGCGAACAGGGGGGAGGGCACAAAAGUAAAUCCAGAAGGGCACAAUAAAUACAAGAGAAGAGAGAGAGAGCUUCACUUGAAUUUAAUGCUCUUGCCUGCCUUCACGCUUUUUUUUCUUAGUUUUUACACAUAACGUUUAUUACGCUGAAUGUCAAAUAUUUUGGUUCUUAAUUUUGCAAAUUUUAUUAAGUAUUGAAAAAGCUUUUAACAAAGAAAAUCAUAUAAGAUUGAUAUUUACAGAUUAAACGAAUAAAUUAUUUUUUUUUGGCUUUGAAAGAGCCUAAGCCCAAUAAGUGGGUACUAGGAAAAUUUUAACUCUUUAAUCCAAUUAAUUACAUUUAUAAAGUUUCUGGGAUCAUUACAAUUUUGAAAAAAAAAAAAAGAAAAAAAAGCAAAGGCUCAUUCACUAAUUUUUAAUACCAAUGUACAACAACUUUGCCGUAAUUAUAUCAGCCUGAAUCUCCCAACCUUUUCCUUUUUUACUCUUUUUCAUUUUCUGUCCCCUAAGAUUUAACUUGUAAUGGCAGAUAUUCCCAGAUUUUUCAUUCCAGAAGUCAAAAGAUAUUCCCAGAUUUUCUUUCCACAAGUUAAAAAGCUCAACUGGCCUUUGAAUGUUCAUCCCAUCUGUACCAACCUUUUGAAAAAACAGUAAAACGUUAAUAAUAGGGUCAGGCUACAUGACCAGACCAAUAGGCCCAACUCCUUCCAACUAGAUUAUAUAUUAAUAUGAAAAUAGUAUCUGGACAGAAUUACGUAAAGUUUCAGACUACAGCUCGGCCAAACCUACGGACACAUGCACUUCGAAACAAAGAGGGCUGCAAAUUAUAUACAAAACGUUACUAAAAAAAGUGAAAGAACAAAGAAUAAAGCUAAGAGUUUGAACACUUUACAUGGUUCUCACAUAUUCUUUCAAAAGCUUCAUCAAGCAGCAAACUUGGAAAAAACCCUAUGUUUAUUCACCUCAUUAAUAUACAUUGCUUCCAAAAGCGGAAAGCCAAAAAGAAAAAAACAGAGUUAACUUCCAACAUAUGCAAGCUUUACAUAUAUAAAAUAUCUAGAAUGUGUAAGUUCAGAAAUUGUUCACAAGAGAAAUUCGGGAUUUAACUCAAUUGGUUUAUACAACCACUCUUAAAAAGUGACAUCUAAUAAACCCGUACGAGCACAUAAGAAAGACAGUGAAGAAUGGGAAGACGAAAAAUAUACAAAAUAAUUGUAAAACAAGUGAAUCAGAGAAAGAUCACAAAGAAGAAUUUGUCAUACCGUACAAUCAAACUUCAAAGGAAGAAAACUUUUCAAUGAGUGCUGUUUAUCUUGAUUUCUAUAAGUUCUUCGAUAGGUUGUCGGCAUAUUGGACAUUUAUUUGACUGAAGCCUCAAUGUUUUAGCACAUUCACUGCACAUACACUGGAACCAAAAAAAAAAAAUUCUCGCAAGAAUCAUUUACUAGUUUGAAAAGUUAUAAUUUGAGAAAAUAGACAAAAACAAAUACAUCCUAGCUUCUAAUCAAAGAUUUCGAAGUUUGCAAGUAUAAAUUAAUCAAGCCUUUUCACCAUUACUAAAUUGUUAAAAAAGGCAAUUCAGCAACAAUUUCAGACAAUCUCAAAUCUAAAAAUUCUUCUAUAUUACCUGGAGUCGAGGGCGAUUACAUGUUCAAUUUACAAAAAAAAAAAAAAAAACUUAUUUGGAGAGUCUUUACAAGAUUAUAACCCCAUGGUAAAUUUUAGUUCUGAUAUUCUCCAUGGUAACCAAUAAAGAAGCUCCAAAUUCCAGACAAAAUCAAAGUAAAUUAUUCCAUCAUCAAUCAUGACACUCUUUCUCAUAAGUCAUAGCUAUAAUGCAUGAGCACCAACCAUAAAAGAUGAUCCUCUUAGAGGGUAUGAUGGUAAAGUGAAUGCCAUGUGGAACCCACAUAAUGGCAGAACGAUAAUAUGUAACUUUUUAAGUAAAUGAUGUGUCUGAUCCUACACAACAUCCAAGAGUGGCAAACACUAAUGCUUGAGCUUGUUUCCAUGUUAUUUUAAUCUAUGUUACUCAGAUUGAGAUGUGAAUGUUAGACAUGGAUGCGCCAGACACAGAUAUGUUUAAAUUUUUUCAAGAUUUCCAUGUGUUUGGAGGAUUUAUGAAGGAUUAUAUCCUUGUACUAAUGUCCGAAUAAGCAUUGGUAUUUCAAGAAAAAAGAAGAGUUCGGCAACAUAGAUUUUAAUCACACUCUUCCAAGAGUUCAUAAGUGCCAAUCUCAAACUAUUAUAUCCGGCUGAUUAGCAUGCAUUAUAUUCAAGGAAAAUGGGGAAUUCUUACCAUGUGGCGGCAAGGUAGGACCGCAGUAUCCUUGGGUUCGGUCAUGCAGAUAACACACUCUUUCCCCGGGUCACUAUCAUCAAAGCCUUCCGCUGCUGCUGAGCUUCCUAUUCCAUAAAUCUCGCGUAGUUCAUAGCGGACUCCAUCAACCCAUAAUAUCUGCCGUAUCACUUUUGCUUGGAAAGAGUUACCGUUCUUCUCUAAAAUGGCUUGAGUAAUUUGCAUGUGGGCUGAUGUACUUUGUGUGGGAUCACCAACAUGUUCAUCAGAUGAAUGCGGCAGCAUACAUGUUUCAGCAGAAAUUACAAGAGGGAAAACAUCCUCCCCUGGUGAUGGUUUCGAGAGAUCAUCCAAUUCAAAGAAACCUAAGUCAAUUCCUGUCCCAGGAGGCUGCUGGAAUCUCUGGCCAAGUCCCUUCUGAAAUGGGACUCUCACAGGCUCGAAGGCUUCAGGAAAUACGGGAACAAAUCUACAGUUCAACUCUUCCUUGGCAAAGUAGAAAAUGGUGAUACUGUAAAUCAGAAAACAACAUGAUUAGAUAAAAGCAUUGAAUGGAGUUCGCAUACCUUAUCAGACAAGUACCAAACAUUAAUUACGUAGUUACCUGGAAAGUUUUACAUCUAUUCACCCUAGAAUUACGUCAAGAAUAAUUGAGCCAACUUAGUUGCUUUUGACAAAACAAGAAUCUUUACUGUGAAUCUUAAUUCAGCUUCCGUGAUAUUUGAGAGCAAACUGGCUUUAAAAAGGCCAAAAAUUCAUUUUUCCACAAAGAACUGUAUCACUAGUCCAUACAAAACCAAUACCCUUUGAUAUCAUAUUACUUGCUUGGCAAGGCAGUGAAUUAUUGCAACCGACUGUUCUCUUUUCUUCAUAUGCAGAUAACUAAGGAAAAGUGUAAGUGAAGGUCUGAACUUAAUAAAAAAAAUGAACGAAUCAAUCCAAAUAAAGAAUUGAAUUAUUAUUCCUUUGAAUCAGGAUAUCACAGUCCACAGCUUAACAAAAUUCUAUUAUAAUCCAAUUUUAAGAAAUUUCCUUCCAUAGAACUUUGAGAACUCUUAACCUUAAAAAUCUCUAUAACAGAAGGCUUUUUGGCAUUAACUAUAUAUUCACAUAAAAAAAUUGCUUCAAAAGCAAGAAAAAAAUCCGUAAGAGAAACCCAGAUGGUAUUUAUCUCAACCCCAAUCAAAACAGUGGUUGCAAAGUCAAUAUGCCACUGAACCCCUCAAACAAAGAAUCAGACAUGCCUGAAAACAGAAGAAGGGAGAACUCUUUACAAGUCCAAGGAAAUUAAUGGCAGCUUAUAAAGCCAUGAAAGAAACUUCCAAGAAGCAAAUUUUCAACAUCUAGUUCUUUAUCUAGGUAUAGUAAAAACUUUAAAGAUGAAGAGCAGAUUUUUAAAAGUAAAGACUUUAUGGGGGAAAAAUGAUGGGAAAAAAAAACUAUAAGCAAAAAUUAACAUUAAAACAACCUCCCAUUCUUUUGAAUUCUAGGAUGUAAAGUUCCAAUACACGUGCUACCAUCCUAUCCCUACCUCUUCUCAUCAACAAUGUUGAGCAAAUGAUGCAGUUUAUUCAAAAGGUUCCAUGGACAAAUAACCGGUUCUAUGGUAGUAAAGGAACUAAGAGAUUGUGAAAAGAAGUCUAGGUAUUUAUCGUAAGUGUGCCAACAUUUGUGAAAAUCAUUUCAAACUUACAAGCAGUAGCAGACCAUAAAGGGGCAGUUCUUUAAUAAAAUAUAUGACUAAGCCAAUGGAGGCUACCUAAUGUCACUCAGCUCGCAUGGCCCAAUCUAUGCAAGUUCAGAAGUUUAAAACAUCAAGUCAUUGACUUCAGAAGCAACAGCAUAAUAGCAUUAUGAUCCACUGUUCAGCUAGCAAAAGCUUAACCAAUAAUACAUUCCAGGAAACCAGAACUUAAAAUGCUGGGUUAUCCUAAAUUUCUGUGAAGCAUAAAAUGUAAAAGGUGAUAGAAAAGUUAAGUGCCAAUAUCAGCAAGACAUGAUCUAAUACCGUAAGGCUACAUCGUAAUGGACAAGAAGAUACAUCACAGCCAUAGUCCUGGAAAAUGGAAUAGCGACAUAUGCUUGCUGAACUAGAGAGCUCUCUCUGUUAAUCAUUGCACUUCACUGUUAAGUUCCCCAGGUUCAAUUCCAAAACAUAUUUGUAAAGAUUUGGCAGCAGAUUUCAGAUUCUGAUAGUGACAUUGGACUUCUGAUUUUGGAGACCUUAUAUGGUUUACGAUCCUUGCAAUCUUUAUCCAAAUGAUUGAAGGGUCUCAUCUUGAGUCAGUUCUUAUAAUUGUUAGGUUCUAGUAUAGUGGAUUCUAUUUUGCAUCUCUCAUUCAUUCAUUUAUUAUGGUUCUGAAGUAAAGGCAGGGAUUGUUUUCUCUCCUAUACAGGUUUAUAUGGCACCGGGCUUGGUAUAGUUGUUGAGAGAAAAAAUGGCCAAAACAACCAUGACUGGAGCAAGCAUCCUACCUCAACAAUUGCUUUCAUAAGAACGCAUCUCUCCAAAUCACUGUUCACCAACUCAACAGGAAAAAACUAUCUUCAAUGGUCACUUUCCAUUCAAAUGGUGAUCCAAAGAAGAGGCUGAAGGUGCUAUCCUGAUGGUACAACCAUGAAACCAUAUAAAUAUGAUCUUAAAGGCUAGGUAUGGCUUGUGAAUUCAAUGAAUGAUUAUACUGGAAGAAAUAUUACUACCAUACAACAACUGAAAACCUUUGGGAGGAGGCUGUCAAAUGAACAUAUUCAGAUCAGGAAAAUUCUGGAAGAUUUCUACCCUUCUCCCACGCAUCAAUGCGUGAGAGCGCUUGAGCAUCCAUCUGGUCACUGUUCUUUGAUGCAAAUCUUCCAGAAGCUAUGCUCUGUUCCUUCAACUCCAAUGGUGUUAUCCACCUGUCAUUUUGAUUCCCUUUGAUAUUUAUUCUUAAAUUUCUAUCUUCGCUAUGGCUUGAAAUUUCAGAUUUUAUUAAACCCUUCUUCUCCACAUCUGGUAAUCCUUGAAAUGUUCAAAAUAAUCUGCUUAUUGCUCAUACCACUCAGCCUCAAAGGGAUGGAUUACUCCCAUAACCAAAUGCACAAGUACAAGGGAAUAAAUCAAUCACAUCAAUCAGGGCAAAUAUGCUGAAUAUUGGCAAUAUCAAGCAUCAAAAUGGCAAUCAUUCAACAAGCUAUGGUGGAUGAGAUGAAUGCUAUUUCUGAUAAUCAUGGGAUUUUCUUCCUGUACCACUUGGUAAACUUGUAGUUGGUUAUCAGUGGGUUUUUACUGUGAAAGUUGGAUUUGAUGGCAAGAUCAAUCGUUUUAAGGCACGUCUAGUUGCUCAAAGAGUUUACAAAGGUUCCUAGUCUUAAUUAUGAAGAAACUUUCUCUCCAAUCACCAAGAUUACCUUAGUUCGACUCUUGAUCUCCCUUGCUGCAAUGAAUCACUAGACUAUUCAUCAGCUGGAUAUUAAAAUUGUUUUUCUUCAUGGUGAUUUAUUUGAAGAAAUCUAUAUGGAGCAACCAUCAGGCUUCAUUGCUCAAGGAGAGCCUAGAGUAUGCCAACUGCGAAAAUCUCUUUAUGGUUUAAAGCAACUCCCAAGAGCUUGGUUUGGAUAGUUCAGUGUUGUUAUCCAGCUAUUCGGGAUGAAAAGGAGUGAAGCAGAUCACUCAGUCUUCUAUCGUCAUAACACUCAUGAAAAAUGUAUCUAUUUGAUUGUUUAUAUGGAUGAUAUUGCCAUUAAAAGUGAUAAUCAUGAAGGGAUAGCACAACGCAAGUAACAUCUUUUUGGUCACUUUCAAACUAAAGACUUGGGGAAGUUGAAAUACUUUUUUGGGCAUUAACGUAGCACAACCAAACACAGGCAUUGUUAUUUACCAGGGAAGGUAUGCAUUGGAUAUACCGGAAGAAAUAGGGAUGCUGGAUUUUAAACUUAUUGAGACACCGAUGGAUCCUAAUGUUAAAUUUGUUCCAGGACAGGAUGAGCCACUAAAGGAUCCUAGUCAAUAUCGAAGGUUGAUUGGGAAAUUGAACUAUCUUAUCAUCACAAUUCUUCUCCAGUAAGUGUGGUAAGUCAAUUUCCACAAGCUCCUUGUGAUAGCCAUUGGAAUGCAAUGAUGUGCAUCCUCUGAUACAUCAAACAUGCUCCUAGACAAAGUUUGUUAUACAAAGAUAAAGGAAAUACACAAGUCAUUGGGUAUUUAGAUGCUAACUGGGCAGAAUGUUUCUUCAUUGGAAGGAAUCUAAUAUCAUGAAAAAGUAAAAAGCAAGAUGUUGUGGCAAGGUCGAGUGCAGACGUAGAGUAUCAAGUAAUGACCUUAGUCACUUGUGAACUUAUCUUGUUGAAACAACUUCUUCAGGAAUUACGAUGUGAAACUAGUAGCCCAAUGAAGUUGGUAUGUGAUAAUCAAGCUGCUCUAAAUAUUGCUACAAAUCCGGUGUUCCAUGAAAGGACAAAACGCAUAGAGAUAAAUUGUCACUUUGUCAAACAAAAGAUCGAGCCAAAGUGUAUUGCCACGAGUUUUGUCAAUUCUAAUAAUCAACUAGCAGAUAUUCUCACUAAUGCCCUUAGGAAACCUCGAAUUGAGUAUAUAAGUAACAAGCUAGGAGCCAAGCUAGGAGCAUAUUAUCCAUACGCUCCAGCUUGAGGGGGAGUGUUAGAAUAUACUUGCUGUAGUUUAGGGAUUUAAAUCUUUAACUUUCUUAUUUUGUUUUCUCUUAGAUAGUAUAAAUACCCUCUAAGCGUGAGAGAUAACUAAGCUGAUUUUUCCAGAUUAUUUCUCUCCUAUUUCUCCUUUCCUUUCUCCCUUUUCUUCUUUCUUUUUUCUCACAGCAGCAGCCACCUCCCACGGCAACAGCUUCUCUCCCUCUUCUUUCUUUUCUUCUCAAUUUUACUUACUAUUUGUAUGGUCUAUUUUCCAUAAGAACAAGUUUCUGAUAUACUUACAAAAGGAGUUGCUAACAUUCAAGAAGUUAGUGUGUUACAUGUCAACUAAUUAUUAUUAGAUUAAAUUAUUAUUCUAUUAGGCGAUUUUAUUUAUGAGUAUUUUAUAUCAUUUGAGAGAUCUUUUUUAAUUAAAAGUAUUUUAGAGAGAUAUUAGGAGUCUUUCUUUAUUUAGAGUCUUUCUUUAUUUAGAGUCUUUAUUUUGGUCUCCUUAGCUUAUAAGUCAUUUAUUCAAAUAAGUAGACUUAUGUAACCUCUAUUUAAGAGGCCAAUUGGUAGCAACAAAAUUCAAGUCAGAUUAAACCAAUUUUUACGAGAUUUAAGAUUCUCUCUAACAAGUCAAGGCUUAAAGGUUUGGAAUUCCCUUCAACGAGUUUCACUUGUUCAACAUAGGUUAUUCGCAAGGAGGAGGUAAAAAUCAGGGAAAGAGCCCUGACAAGACAGACAGAUUGCCUGUGAAUCAUUCGGUCACAAGAUCCACCAGUCUGGACCGUAACAUAGUGGACAAGAGGGGAAUGUUCAAUUCUUUUUCCUGACUAGGGGGGAAAUGUCAUAUAACUUAGACUCAGACAAUCUUAUUAGAAUUUAGAUGCAUAAGAUCUUAUCUGGAUUAAGAUCGUUGCAAUCUUAUCUGGAUGAUUAUCUGAUUUCUUUUUAUCAAGCAAUUUUGUUUAUAUGCAGGUUCUUAAGAGGUUUAAGGGUCCUAUCUGAACCACCUUUUUUAAAGUUGAAAGCAGAUUUGUCAGGUUGUUCACAGAGUUUAUUUAAAGGGCUGUAAUUCAUACAUUUGAUUAAUGUUAUGAAAUAAAGGCAGUGCUUGAUUUUUUAUCCCAUAAAGGAUUAGACAUUUCAAUCGCCAACCCUAAGGAUGAAGAGAACUUUGCAAGGACUUUGAAGAGUAAGCCUAUCAAUUACAGUCCACAUUCACUAAUAUAGCUUUCAUAGUUCCUAAUGCAUAUAGGAUAAGGAUACUCACAUUUGAUUAGUUAAAGCUAGAAAAGCAAUAACCAAAUGCACAAUCCCGAACUCAAAUAAGAAAGCUCAUCUGCUCAUAAAAAUGUGAAUUGUAUCUUGCCUCAAAUAGAUUUCUAAUCCUAGCAGCAAAAAUGCUUCUAAAUAGUAUAAGGACUAGCUGCUGCUGCAUUAAGAUUUUUAAUCCUUCAGAUUUGGUAGGUUCAUGGCAUCACUGUCAAACGCAAUGAAGUUACAAGCACUAUUUUGGAAUCCAUAUAACAUCCAAACCCUAUUACAUUAUCUAAUUCUCUAUCUUUCUUUAAUCAUUUAAUGACCAAAGAACAGUUUUUUAUAAUUUCAGUUUGGUUUUUCAUAUCAAACUAGCUACACUAACAUCGGGUUUGAUUAGGAUUACAUUUUGUUUUUUCCAUUGGUUAUGUACUCAUGCUUUCAAAUAAAUAUUUCAACUAUCAUUUAUUUGAUUUUUUUUUUCAUCCAAAAAUAAAGUAAUAAACCUUAAACUAAACCCAUCUUUACUUUUUCCUCUAAAAAGAAGAACUUGAACCAGACCCAAAAUUAAGCAACAAAAGUAAAUAAUUUUUUGAAAAAAAUUACCUGCCAUCAAACAAAGCAUCAAAAACGAAAGAAACCAAGUGAUGAUCGGGAUUCUGCUCGUCUACUUCCAGCUUCAACGUAUCCUUGUGCACGUUCACAUCAUUCCUCACUUUCUUGGCAUUAUAAUGCUCCACAUAAGAAGGUGGCGGCUGAGGCGGCACCGCCGCCACGGCAUGAGCACGAAUCGGGGGCCAGGCACUAGCCUGGUUGGCGAAAUAUGGAGGAUAUUGAAUAGGGUAACGACCCAUGACAGGGUUUGAGUAACAGCAGGGGUUGUAGGGUGGGGAACAGUAGUAAUUGUUGGGAAUUGGAGGCGGUGGGGGUGGAGGAUGCGCAGGAUAAGGGUGGCUAGUAGAAGGCUGGGAUGGCGGUGGAGGUGGCGGAGGAGGAAGGGAAGUGGGUUCUUGGGGAUAAUAGAAAGGUGGAGGAGGUGGAGGGCCAUGGAGGUAAGCUUGGUUUCUCCUCCGGUUGCUAUUGCUUGUGUUGCUCCAUGAGAUGCCCAUGUUUGGAGAGAAAGAAAGUGAAAGGGAAAAAAGGAAAAUUUUCCAAGAAAAUGGACAAUUGAGGAAGAGAGUUGCUUUUAUUUCUUAGUUUGGUGAAACCAAUGAAAGUUCCUAACACUCUAAUUCAUUAUUGACUUUUUUGCUUUUAAGUCUGUGUUUAAAUUUCUAUUUUUCUGUAAUAAUAAAAUUUUUAUUACAAUUUUAUUAGGCUUUGAAUACAUCUUAGAACUCUGGCCUGAUAGGUCUAUUUUAAUUUGGGUGGGAUUUAAAUAAUGAUUUUUUUUAUUUUAAUUUAAUUCAAUUUGACUUGAAUUCAAUUUAAAUAAUAAAAUUUAUUUUUAAAUUAAAUUUUAAUUAUAAAAUAUAAAAAAUAAUAAUAAUUUAAAAAAUAUUUUUAAAUAGUAUAAGGAGUAUUUUUUUUACUAGCUCAACUGACCUUAAAACUAACCUGAGUUUGAAAAAUAUUUUAGAACUAAGCCUUCACCCAUUCACAUCUCUAAUUUUGUGUUCUAAAUUCUAUUUUUAUAUAAUUAUUGGUCAAAUUUAGGGUUGGUAAAAAAUCUAAUUAAAUGGGUUUCGACUCAAUGUGAUACGAUAGAAUCGGCUUUUUAGAUUUGAUUUAAGAGCGGGCCUUGAUCUCCAAUUAAUUGGAUAGAUUUGUAUUUAGGAAAAAUUCGUCCUGUCCCACUUUGUCCUCAGAUAAUUAUCAAAAUAUUAUUUAAUAUAUAAUAGAGUUAAAUAUAAAAUUGGUUAUCGAACUUGUCCACUUCUCCCAUAUUGGUACUGUUUUUUUUGUCCCAGAUUAGUACUCGAACUUUUUUUCGUCAACUGGUUUGGUAUUUUUUUUAACAUCGUUAAGUCUAGAACAAGUGACAAUACCGGACAAUGACAUAUGUUAUUAGUGACAUCAUGAUAUUAUUAUCAUCUAAAAAUUAAGUUAAAAAUUAUUAAUAAAUAAAAAAUAUAUACAAGAAUAAUAAAAAUAUAUUGCACCUUUUCUUUUCUUUCUUGAUUUUUUUUUCUUUCAUUUCCCAUAUUUGUCCUCAUCUUAUUCUUUUCUCCUUCGUCCUCCCAUAGCCUACCUUAGAUCCCAUCAAGCAAACAAAAUUGUUGCACACUGGGGGUACCAAUUUCAAACUUGAGGGUAUUUUUUUUUUGUUUCUUGAUAUUCUAAUUGGUUUUGUUAAAUAUCUAUUUCGAGUAUUCAAUUAAGUAUUUUAGUUGUUUUCAUAUUUAUAUUUUACCUUGAAUCAAAAUAUUAUUGUUUUAUUGACAGAUGUUCUUUAAUUUUUUUCAAAUUUAUUUGCAAAAUCUUAUAAAUUCUUAGAAAAUGCUAUCCUUUAACAUGAAACAGCCCUUAGUGGAAAUAAAAUCGAUAAAAACUCAAGUUGAACACAUCCAACUCAAAUAGAAAACAAAUAAUAAAAGCUCUUGUAAGACAAAUAAAUGAAGCAGGAGAUGAAAGACAGUGCAAGCAAAAGAAAAUGGAACAAAUUUAUGGAGAUAAUUCAGAAAAUCUAAGAAAGAAUUUUUUUAAUUUAUCAUUUUUAUAUAUAUUUUUAGAUUUUUAAAAAAUAAAUUAUGAUAUUUAAAAUAUUUUAUUGAUUUUUAAUAUGUUUUUUAAAUUGUGACAUCAAUGGCACAUAUUGUUGUCUGGUAUUAUAAAAAGUUCAGUUACCAAUUUAAGAUUAAAAAAAAAUCUUAAAUACAAAUCUAAAAGAAUUAGACAAUUUCAAGUACUGAUUUUAUAUUUAACCCUGUAUAAUACUAAUUUUCUUUACCCAUGCAUUGUAUGUAUUAAGAAGAAGUUUACAUGAAUUGGAUCGGGCCGAUUAAGAUCUAGAUCCAAAAAUGUUUUAAGCCUAGGCUCGUUUUCGACUUGACUUAGCUUGUCCAAAAUGUUCAUUUUACUAUUAAAAAUAAUAAAAUAUUAAAAAUAUAUUUUUAGUUGAUAUUUUAUAUAUUUUUAUAAUUAAAUUUAAAAUUUUAAAAAUAUUUUUAUUAUUUAAAUUGAAUUCGAGCCGACCGAACUGGCCUAAGGCACAAAAUACUUGACCAAACCUAGCCCAAAUCAAAUUAGGGGAGCUAAUCGGCCCAUGAAUAGGUCUAGUAUUAAUUAAACUAUAUAUAACUAUUUCUUAAUUUUUUUCAUAAACUUCUUAGUAAUAUAGUUAUAAAUUUAAAACAUAAUAAUAUAUAAGUUUAGUUUUAAAAGCAUAAUAUUGAUAUUAGAUUAAAUUUAAAUAAAUCUAAAGUUUUCAUAAAAAAAUGUUUUACUUGAUUUUCAUUGUUAAUUUUUUUUAAUAAUAUCAAUAUAAGUUCUGAUCAUAUCUGUUCUUUUUAACACAAUAUCUAGAACUACUCAAAAUGCCUUCACGACCCAUAAAUAUGAGGAUAAUGCACUUCAGCGCAUUCAGACUCACGUCUUCCUACAUUGGCAAUAAUGCCCAUGCUAAUCAAGUUAAGACUCAAUUAACAAUUUUUUUAAAACCUUUUUCAUGCUAAUUGAGUCUUAACUUGAUUGACAUUGAUAUUGUUGCCAGUGUAUGAGGAUAUGAGUUCGAGUGCGCUAAAGUGUAUUAUCCUCCUAUUUAAAAGUUGAGGAUGAGCUAUGGGUAGUUCUAAGCAUCGUAUUAAAACUUUUAGACCUUUUUAUUAAAAAAAUUUGUGAAGCUUUUAUCUUUUUUUUUGAAUUGUUUGUAUGUAUUUUCUUUUUAAAUUUGAAGAGCUUUUUAUGUAAUUUUUGGAAUUACAAUAUUUUUUUUAUGAUUUUCUCAAAUUUUGAAUAUUUAUAAAAUUUAAAUAAAUUGUUGUGAUAAUAUAAAAUAAAAUUUAAAUAAAUUGUUGUGAUAUAUAAAGUAAAAUAAUGUCAUAUCACCAAUGAAAUAAUAAGAUUUAUGUUACUCCAAAUAAAAAAAAGUGGGAGUCAAAGUAAAUAAAGGUGUAAAUAUUAAAGGCUAAAUGUAUUAUUAUACUUAUAAAUAUGAGGGAUAAAUAUCAAGUUUAUACAUGAACUUCGUUUCAAUGUGCAGUUUGAAACAUGAAGUUUGAUUUUGUGUAAUUAUAUGCAUGGACUUAGAUUGUGGUUCAUAUGUAUACAUAAAACUUUGAUUUUGAUUCAAUUGUACAAAUUUAAAGAAAUGAAUACAUACAUUUAUCUUCAUAUUGGAUUAGUAUAAUUGUCUGUGUAUGCAAUAUAUCAACAUAAAAUGAUGCUAAUUUGAUAAUAUUGUUAGUGAUUUUUGAAAAUUGAAUCAUUCAAAAUUUCAUUUAUAAAAUUAUUUAAAGUCAAAGUUAUCAAAGUUCAUGUAUAAUUUUGAUAUUUAUACUUAAAUAAAACACCAAAAUUAACAUUUAAUAGCACAAUUUUAACAAAAGAAUUAUUUUACUCUUUCAUUUAAUGUACAGGAAUUAAUUUGUCCAUUUUUUCAAUAAAUAUACCAAAAUGUAAUAUAAAAUAUAGUACAAGAACUGCUAUGAUAGUUGAGAUUAUAAAUUUGAAUAAUUUUCAAAAAGAAAAAAAAAGGUCCAUAUAAAACAAAACAAAGAAUCCACAAAGGCAUAACCUAAAACACCUAGAGGAGGUUGUUUAAACAAAAGUAAAAUGUCUCCAUUACUGCAAUUCAAUUUUGCAAGAAAAUCUGCAACUUUAUUAUCUUUUUUGGGCACAUGUUGGAUGUGCCAUUGUACUGUCCUUUCCAACAAUUGGUGUAUACGCCUAGCCAAAGUUGAAUUAAAGUUUCUUGAGUUGUUAACUUGAAUAAUCUGAACUGCUUCCAUACAAUUUGUACUAAUCAACACUCUAUUAAAUCCUUGCUUCAAUAGAAGAGACAAGCCUUCAAAAAUAUUGUAACACCCCUCACCCGUAUUCAAUGCCAAAAUAAGGUUACGAAGCAUUAUCGGACUUAUAACACAUAUAGACAUUCAAUUCACAUAUAAUUUCACAAUUUAUGCAAACAUUAAUCAAACUCAAGCAUAAUGUCCUUAUAAUGAGCCUACGAGGCCCUAAACAUACUUUGGGAGUGGUUUAGGACUAAACCGAUAACUUUAGAAACUUUCACGAAACCUAGAAAUUUGUUUCUCAAAACAGGGGACACAUGCCCGUGUGGCCCGCCCGUCUGUCUCACAUGGCCACCAGAUACGCCCGUGUCACAAGCCGUGUAGACAUUCGAAAUGGGAGCACAUGGUCGUGUCCCAACCCGUGCCCGACCCCGUGUAACUCUCUGACUUAGGUCACACGGCCAACACAUACGCCCGUGUGCCUUAAAAAUGGCCAUACACACCCUUGUACCAGGCCGUGUGCUAGGCCAUGCCAAACCUGUGGGUAUACUGACUUAUGCCACACGGCCAAGUCACACACCCGUGUAAAGCAUACUGACUUGGUUUCAAAUUCAACACUAGGGAACACACGGCCGUAAAACAUAAUCGUGUGUCGCACACGGCUGAGACACACGCCCGUGCCUCUGCCCGUGUGGACAAAAAUAGGCUAUUUAUCAAGCCAAUUUUGCCACCCAAAUUUAGGCACACCUAUACAAUUCAUAUGGCACAAAACAUAGCAUCAAUAGACAUAUAAUUCAAUUCCAAAUCAAGCAUAAUUUAUACCAUUUCCAAUACCAACCAAUGCAAAACAUAAAUACCACAUUAUGCCAUCUAAGUUUAUACCAAUCUUUAUUUUUUUUCAAUUCAUCAAAAUGACCAUUAACAAAUAUGCAUCAAUAUGCUCAAUUCGACAAACAUACCAAUUCACAAAUCAUCACCUAUUGACAUUCAAAUUACCUAUUAUCAACAAGUAUCAUGAAUCCAACCUUAAUCAUUCAACACAUUUCACAAAGCAUAGACAUAUAUAUAUACAUGAUUUAACCAUACCAAAAUAACUCAAAAUAAGCCAUCACUCAUAGUUAUAUUUACAAACCAAAACAUAUACACUUACAAGCCAAGUCAAAAGGCCAAAAUCAUUACCAAAACUUAACCAACAUAACCAAAAUCCCUAUACAUACCAUAUACUUAAAACAUAAGCUUUAAAGUACCAAAUCGAUAGUAGGAUAGUGUGACGAAAUCUCUGACGAUCUUCGAAUCCGUGCUUGUUUUGAAUCCAUUAUAAAACAUAGAAAAAAAUAAACGAUGUAAGCUAUAAAGCUUAAUAAGCUCAUAUGAAAUAAACUCGAUAUAAUUAUAAACACAUAAUUCAACAAUUGAUUAUAAAUACAUGAAUUCACAUCAACUAACAAACCUUUCAAUUACUCAUUUACAAAACUAUAUAUUUUCUUCACCAUUUCUUCGAUUCAAAGCUAAUAUGGUUUAUGCACAUUCCUGUACCAUCUCGUACUAAACUCAUUCUCAACCACAUCAUUCAUUUACCUAUUGAACCAUUCAGAAUAGAAGUCGGAUACUUAAGAGUCUCGCACAAUAAGUACCUAUACCAUGGCCCGAAGCCAAAUCAAGGUACCUUAUAUCAAAAGUAGUGAUAUUAUUGCCAGAAGCCAAAUCAGAAUAACUCGUACCCAAAGUGCUAAUAUCAUGGCCCGAAGCCAACUCAACGUAUCCUCUAAUGACAUGUCACUAGUAUCCUAAACUAUUCCUAAGGUUUAACCGGGAUUUCGUGUGCCGAAUUACCCUUGAGUCAUUGAUGAAUUUGUCCGAAGUAUCAUAUUCGCAGUUUAAGAAAUAUCAAAACAUUUAAAAUACAUUUAUAAUGAAAUUUAUCGCAUACGAACUUACCUCGGAUGUGAAAACGACGAAAUAGGUCGAUUAGCUGAUAACUUUAGUUUUCCCCCGAGCCAGAUCCGAAUUUUACUUUUCUUGAUCUAAAUAUAUUCAAAUUUAACUUAUUUAAUAAUAUCUCUAUUAAAUUUAAUAAAAAAUACACUUUUAAGCACAUUUACACAUUUGCCCCUAAUGUUUCACCACUUUUACAAUUUAGUCCCUAGGCUCAUAAAACAAAAUUCAUGCAAUUUAAUCACAACCCAUACUAGCCGAAUUACUAUUAUACCCCUAGCAGCCCAUAUUUUUCAUUUAUUUCAUAUUUUAACCACUAAAUUUACACAUUUCACAAUUUAGCCCCUAAUUUGCAUUUUCACUAAAAAUCACUUAACAAAACUUGUAUAUAUAUCAACAAGCAUUCAUAAUCUAUCAAGAAACUUCAAAACUCAUGCUUAAUCAUCAAUGGCAUCAUUCAAAAUCUUUAACAAUUUUGCAAAUUAGUCUCUCGGCUAGCUAGACCUAAUUACAACGAUCUCAAAAACGUAGAAAUCAUUACAAAUGAGACAAAAACAAACUUACAAUUGAGCUAGAAGGUAACCGAAUGCUUCAAAAGCCCUAAAAAUGGCUUUUUCUUUGCUAAAAAUCGGCUAGGAAGAUGAUAGCCUUCAAAAUUUUUUAUUUUGUUUUAUUUAUUAUACUUAAAUAACCAAAUUACAAUAUUAACCUUUAAUAUAAACCAUUAAAAUUCAUUAAUGCAUGUCCAUCUUUGUCCACUAACACUAAAAAUGGUUUAUUUAUCACAUAAGGACCUCUACUUUAAAGUUUCAUAGCUAUUAGACACCUUUAGGUAAUAGAACAUCACUUUUGCAUUUUAAGUGAUUUAGUCAUUUUUAUCGAAUUAAGCAUUCAAAUGAUAAAAUUUCUUAACAAAAAUUUCACACAAUCAUAUUUUCAUACUGUAGACAUUAAAAUAAUAAUAAAAUGAAUAUUUCAACUUCAGAUUUGUGGUCCCAAAACCAUUGUUCUGAUUUGACUAAAAACGGGCUGUUACAAAUACCCUAUAGAUCAAACUCCAAUACUGAACAUACUCCCCAAAACUUAUUCAAUCAUAAGAUUCAAUUCCCUUUCAUGUCACGCAUAACUCCCUUGCAACAGCAGAACCCGAGUCUGCUUGUACCGUGCCAUCCAUGUUUAAUUGAAUCCAAUUACCUGUUAAUAUCGGGUGGGAAAUCAUUGUAUUCCUCUUGGUCACAUCCACCUUACCCACAGAGAAAUACUACGUAGCCCAACUAUAUGAGGCUAUAAUCACUUCGUCAACACUCCAUGAGACUCCUUGAAACACAUGUAAAUUCCAAUUUCUCCAAAUAUUCUCCAAAUAUGCCAAGUGAUUAACCCAAAAAUGCAAGACCAAUCCACCUCCCCAAACCAAAUUCGCAAUUGAUUCUGCAAAUUAGCCACAAGCCAUACUCUCAAAUCUCUAGAGAAAAACCAUCUGCGCUUAUCUUCAGGAAUCACCUAUAUCUUUAGUUGCUCUACAAUCUCUGAUAACAUGUAAAACAUCCUCAGAUUCAUUACCACAAAAUCCACAUGAACUGAUACUCACUAUCCCUCUCCUCACGUGUUCGACAUUAGUAAGAAGUCUUUCUUUAAACACUAUUCAAAUGAAGAAUAUAACUCAUUGUAGACCUUGAAGUUUCCACAAAAUUUGCCAUAAUCCGUCAUUCAAAUUCCACGCCAUUUCGCGAAGUUUCUAGUAAGCAUUUUUAAAAGAGCAUGCACCAAUUGGAGAUCUAGCUCAUAUAACUUUAUCCUGGCCUACAGAAUGGUGCGGAUGGGGGAUCCCUACAAUCCUCUUAACAAUAUCCUUCUAUAACUAAAAACGAGAAAGAUCCAAAUUCCAACUACAAUCUUCUAUAACCAUAUCCAUAAGAAAAUAAUCCCUAUCAAGAUUAGCAUGUGAAGGGAUUCUUCUUACCAACGACCCAACAUUUGGAAUCCAGGGAUCCAACCAUCAUUUAACACUACAACUAUUUCUCAUAGACCAACUUAAGUUUACACGGAUUAGAGGCCAGGCCUUUGAAAGGGCCCUCUAAAGAAACAAGCAUUUUCCCUUCGAAAUAUCCUCUGGAAUCCUGUCUUGAACCUUGUACUUUGACUUUAGGAAACGUACCCAAAGAGCAUUGGAGUUCGUCAUGAACUGAUACCCAAGCUUAGCCAUAAAGGAACAAUUUUGAUCCUAUAGAUGUCUAAUGCCCAAUCCCCAACAAGAUCGGGGUUGACAAAUAUCCUCUCAUCUAACCAUUGCCAUCUUCCUUUUCCUAGUCGAGGAUCCCUAUAUAAACUAUCUAACUAUACUUUCUAUUUCAGCACAAAUACCUUUAGGGACCAUUAUGUAUUGCAUGAAGUAACUUGGGAUCGACAAUAAGACAGAUUGUGCCAGAGUGAACCUUCCUGCUAGAGACAAUUGUUUAACAUCCCAACUGUACAGCUUACUCCGAACCCUAUCAACAACAAACCUCAAGGUACACUUAGUAACUUUAACAUGAAAAAGGGGCGUUCCAAAAUACGUACAUAGGUUUUGGUGUAACACUAUUAACCCCGUCCCGUUACUGGAACAGGAUUACAGAGUAUUACCAGUCAUUACAGUACAUUUGCACAUAAACAAGUAUAAAUACAAUAUUAUCCAUCUAAAUAUAACUUUAAUGGGUCCACAGUACUUUACAAGUGUAAUUAAAACAAAUCGGGAUUCGAUCGGAAGCUUAGGAAAUUUUUCGUGAAAUUUUAAAUUUUCUUCUUUUGAAUAGUACCACACGCCUGUAUGGCUAGUUUAACAUGCCCGUGCGGCUUAGGACACGCCCGUGUCCUCAACCCGUGUGCAACACUGACUUUUAAACACGACCAUGACAUAUGUCUGUAUGGCCUGCCCGUGUACUAAACUAACUUUAAGACACGACCGUAGCAACCAAGGUAUAUGCCCGUGUACUAACUUGGUUGUAACAAUUUAAGUGCAAGGGACACACGACCUAACAACAUGCCUAUUUGCAAGCCGUGUGUCUCACACGGCCUGGUCACAUACCCGUGUGACAAACCAUGUGAACUCAAAAUGAACUUUGUAUUUUUAAAUUUACCAACCUUGCAAACUGUAGACAACAAGCAUUUCAAAAUUUCUCCAUUCAACCAGUCUAAACACAUUUUAUAUGCUAUCCAAUUUUAGCAAUAAAUCAUUCAUCCAAUGUACCCUCAGUGGUACCACAAUUUAUAUCAAUUAAACAUUAUCAUACUAACCUAAUUAAUUUUCUUAGGUUUAGUCACCAAAAUUUACAUGUUUCAUACAUAAUUCAACAUCUUUAUAUUUUUUUUAUUACCAUUUACAAAUAUUAACUUAAUGACCUAGGUACAUGCCAUUAUCAACAAUUAACAUGUGUUACCUUAUUGAGUUCGAGAUCGGCCUGGGAUGCUGAUUCAACAUUCUAGCUUUAAUCUAACCUGCGCACAGAAAUAAACCGUACGCUGAGUAUGAACUCAGUGGUAUUUCUAUAAUCUGAACAUUUAAAACAUAACUUACACUUAUUGUCCUAUAAUAAUUAUAAAUAUUCAUUUAUUCAUUUCAUAAGCAAUUUCUUUACAACUCAUUCAACCUUCAUUAUCUAAUAACUUGAUUAAAAUUUUCAUUUAAUUCACAACAAUAAUAUUCUCUAUUCAUAUGUCUUACUUAUGUUUCUGUUCACUAUUCAAUAUCAGUAAACAUAUUUCAGUAUCGAUUAAUUUUUCAGAUUCUUUCAGUAACAUUUAGUCAUUCGAAAACAAUUAGUUAUCCAGUAACAAUUAUUCGUUCAGUAGCGAUCUUUUACUCAGUAUCAAUCAAUUAUUCGAUGACAAUCAAUAUUUUUCAAUAACAAUCAUUUAAUCAUUAUUAUUCAAUAGCAGUCAUUUAUUUAUUCAGUUACAGUUAAAAAUUUGGUAGCAGUAAAUUUUCAAUACCUUUAUUUGCCCUAUUAACAUGACUCGGACCUAUACGGAUACACGGAUCCAAACCACACACUGAGGAUAGUAUACAGUGUUUCAUUGGCUGAAGCCGAAAUACACCGUAAAGGUAACAGUAACAGUAACAGUAACAGUAGCGGUAGCGGUACACAAAGUACCUCAUCGGAACAAAUCCGAAACAGUAACAGUAACAGUCACAGUCAGCUACAGAGUACCUUUUCAGAACGAAUCUGGAAACAGUAACAGUAGUCGACACUUAUAGUGUCUCAUCGACACACAGUCGGAAUAUCCCUAAACACUUCCAAUCCUAUGGCAUGCCAACUAUAUCCGACUAGCCCGAUACAGUUAAUUGUAAACUUUCAAAAUUUCAAUUUCAUUCGUAAUUUAAUUUCAAUUCAAUUUAAUACAUUUUUCCGUCUCAAUCCACAUGCAAUUCAAUUGCAAUACAAUAUAUAUUUUGAUUCAUUUCAAUAAUCAUAAAACACAAUAAUGCUUACAUUAAUUACUUACCAUAACAUUCAAUCAAAAUAUAAUAAUUAACAAUUAAAUUUCACUUUUCAAUGCAUCAACCUACACAUUAAAUAAUAAAUUCAACAAUUAAAUAUUAAGUUCGGAUUAUAGAAAUACAAACCGUAAUUUCCGAGUUAACUCCCGUUGUCUGUGCCCUUUUUUCCUUGCUUAGCCGAGAUUUUCCUGGAACAACGUUAGCUAUGGAAAUCAAUUAAAAAUUAUCAAUACACUACCAUUCAAUUUUCUCAUUGAAUAUUUCAAUUUUUAUUCAUCUUUUGCCUAAAUUCCAAUUUAGUCCUUAAACCGAGACUAACUUUUAUUCUUCACAUUUAACUCAAUAUUUUCAUUCAAUUACAACUUUAGACUAAUUUCAAUUCUCUAAUUUCAGCAUAAAACCAUAAUUUCAAAAUUCUUUCGAUUUAGUCCUACUAUUCAAAACUUAUGAAUUACUUUACAAUUCAAUUCUUAUCUCACUUCUAACUUGAAUUUCUAUCAAUUUAAUCCCUAAUUCAUCAUUUUAUUCAACAUAAACAAUAUUUAAAAAUCUAAUAACUUUCAAUAUAUCAAUUUAAUUUCAUCAAAACCUUGUUCCAUGACUUCCAAAAUAUCAAAAUUAAAUAAAAAAGGCUAAAUUGACUUACCUAUUAAACUUCCAAGCUUCAAACCUUGAAUUUUCCCUUUUUUCUUCUUUCUUUUCUCUUUUUCUUCUUUCCUUCCCCUACUCCCUGUUUCGUUUGCUUUGUUUCUUCAUUUCUAUUCUUUUGUUUCUUUUUCAUUUAUUUACUUUAUAUAUAUAAUUUAAUUUAAUAAUAUACUUAUAUAAUAAGUAAACAUACAUGUAUUUUACAAUUGUAUGUAUAUUAGUAUUACACAUGUCACCAUUUGUACCAUACAUUUGUCAACCUUUAAUUUAUUUAAUUUAAUAAUAUAAUAUCAAUUAAAUAAUAAUAACAAUAACAAUAAUAAUUAAAUAUAAAACUAUAAUAAUAAAUAAUAAGAAUAAUAAUUUAAUAUAUUUUAACACAUAAAAAUCUCAGAUUUUUAUGUUUAUGCCGCCUCACUUAGGACAAAUGGUAUAAUUCCCAUUUUUGGUCCUUUUCACUUUCUUUUAAUCUAUAAUUAAACUUCCACACUUCAUUCAAUUUAAUCCUUUUAUCUGAUUAUCCUUAAUUUAAGCUAGUUCACUUUAUUAAACUUUAAUUAACCACUCACUUAACUUCGUAAAUAUUUAAUAAAUAUUUACGAAUCUAUUUUUCAGAAACAAAGACCCGAAAUUGUACUUUUUCGAUAACUGUAAAAUUUGAGUCAUUACAUUUGGACCUUGAGAUAACCAAAAAUACUGCUGAUAUGCUCCCUUAACUCCUCACUAAUACCUUUGGAAAAGAAAAUGUUCAUCUUUAGAGUAUUAACUUUGUGACCAGAAUAACCACAGAAACUUUCCAAUAUACCUUUUAUGAUUCUAGCUUAUUACAUCUUUGCUUGUCCGAAUAUAAUAAGGUCAUCUACAAAAAAGAGGUGAUAAAUGGCAGGCUCUAGAUACAAAAAACCUGAUAGGUUUCUAUUGACCCAUGGUAAUGGUAGACUUAAUACCACGUCCUAACCAUUCUAUGGUCAAAACGAAGAGGUGUGGAGAAAGCAGACACCCUUGCUGAAUGCCUCUAACAAGUCAGAACUUUUUAGUUGGGACACCUUUCCACAUGAUCUGCAAAGUAGAAUUCAUAAUGACAGACAUAAUAACAUUAUUUUCAAAGAAAAUCAAGGAUACCUGCAACCUAAAGAGAAGCAUAGAUAAACUCCCAUCUCACCCGGUUAUAAGCUUUCUCCAUAUCAACUUUAAUAGCAAUCCAAGUUUUAUUCUUCUGCUUGUUUUUCAUGGAAUGAAUAGCUUCCUGAAUAAUAAGAAUAUUAUCCAUGAUGUUCCUUCCGGCAAGGAAUCCAACCUGCUCUUGUGCAUUAAUCACGGGAAAAACUACUUUAAAAUGAUUAGUGAUAAUUUUUAUUCUUAGUUUUUAAAGGACUGAACAAAGGUUGAUUGGCUGAAACUGAAAAAAGGUUUAAGGAUUAUGAACCUUGGGAAUAAGAACAAUUAAAGUGUUAUUCAAAUCCGGAUCAAUAGCUUUAUCGACAAAAACCAACUUUACCCAAUUACAAACCGUGGUCCUAAUAUGUCCCUAUUGAUUCUAAAAGAAUAAAGCGUGAAACCUAUCACUUUCCGGAGCUUUAACCGAAGCCAUAUCAAAGAGGACAAUUCUCAAGCUUAGAAAAUGCAUUAGAUGGAUGUCCUUUCAUAGGUUCAGGAGCCUCCCCAUAUAGCCUUUGAAAAAACUUAAUCGCUUCAACCUAUAGAGCCCCCUCUUCGAAAAUCCACUCCCGAUUAUCAUUCCUUAAAGUAGUAAUCCUAUUAUUCUUUCUCCUUUAGAUUGUAUGCCUAUGGAAAAUUUUGGUAUUCCGAUCACCCAAGACUAACCAAUCACAUUUUACUUUUUGACUUCAAAAAAGUUCCUCAUGAUGAAGGACGCUCUCUAAGUCUUCCCGCACCUCCAUCUCUUGCUAAAUUAACUAAUCAGAAUAUGACCUUUCCAUUACCUUCUGAAUGCUAGAAAAUUUCUAUAACAAUUGCCUUUUACAAUUUUGUAACAAUUGCCUUUUAUAAUAUCCAAUUUGACCGUAGACAGACUUAUUUCAAUUUUUAAUACUGGAAUUAAACUGAGCAAUAGAGGGAGUCAUAUCCCCAUUAUAACUCCAAUUAUUCUUACCAAACUCUAAAAAAUCUGGAUGUUUAGUCCAUCUAGCAAGAAACCUGAAAAGUCUCCCUCUAGGUAGGUUAACUUUCGAUCUAAGAGACAUGAGGAGAGGCUUUUGUUUAGACUUAAUUCUCAGAAGGUGGGACACCAAACAAUAUGGAAAGGCUUUAAUCCAAGCAUUAUUACCUAUUACUCUGUUAAGAUGCUCAUGAGCCCCACCUCUAUGCCAAGUGAAGGAGGGGCCUUUAUAACCCAAAUCAUAAAGGUCAGCAGAAUCCAUAAAAUCCCAAAAGAAUGACACUUUCUCCUAUGAUUCCGCCCAUCCUUCUUUUCACUAGAAGAAAGCACGACAUUAAAAUCACCAAUAACCAUCUAGGGCACAGAAACAUCAGACAUGGUUGCUUUUAAACCCUUCCAAAGAAGCCUUCUCUUCCAUCUAUCUAGACUCCCAUAAACAAAGGAGAUAAAAACAGGAUAUUUUGUAACAUUGGAGAUGACCCAGACCAAUAAAAAUUGUGAAUGAUUCUGGAUAAUCUCAACUUGUAUUGAAUCUUUCCAACCAACCCAAAUACCACUUGAAAAACCAAUAGCUUCCAUAUGAAGCGAGAACUGAAAACCCAACUUGGCAAUGAUACAAUUUCCUUUACUUUCACUAACUCUAGUAUCUAACAAUCCUACUAUAUCGAGCUUAAGCUCUCUAUUAUACUCGCAAAAAAUUUGAGGGAACUUGCUACUCGGGCAAUCUUGACAAUUCCAAGAAAAAAUUGAUAAGUUCAUAAAAUUAAAAAAAUAAGAGGAUGGAGAGAUACUGACAUCUAUCUUUCUUGGCUAGUCGACUCCUUAUGAAGAUUCCCGGCAAUAAUCAUAACAGAUUUUUUCAGAUUUUACCUCA
RNAcentral lists this long non-coding RNA (51740 nucleotides) under Gossypium barbadense (sea-island cotton). RNAcentral describes it as "long non-coding RNA (GBAR_LNC008205)". The record is from RNAcentral. Lineage: Eukaryota; Viridiplantae; Streptophyta; Magnoliopsida; Malvales; Malvaceae.